ACCUUUGAGACGUGUGAAAUAGGAGAUUUGCUGUGCAAGAGAGUCAGAUGCUCAGCAGAAGGUGCUUCUGUGUAGUUAUUUCUACCCUCACUUCCAUAGGCCUCCACAUAGCACCAAUCUGGGAUGUCUGUCGUACCGAUCAUUAAUGCGAGAUUACAGGCGGGGUUCCUCACUGCUGCCACAACAAACUUAUCUGGUGCCUGCAGCAUAAAUAUGUUCAACUCUCAGUAUAACUAAAAAAUGAUCGUCUACCAAGUGUGCAUAAGUAAUAGAUGCUUCAAAAAUAAAAUAAAAAAGUUUUUUCAGUACCCCACAAAAAAAAAAAAAAAAAAAAAAAAAAAGCUUAAAGCGAGAAGCCUCAAAGCAACUAAAAAAUAACAGUCAUCCUUUUUACAAAACUACCAGACCUGGCCAAUCAAGUGAGUAGUCAGAAAGCCGCCGUGAGAACCACCAAGAACUGCAAUUUUUGAUGCACUGGCAAGCCCCUUGUCAAUGACGUGAUCGAUAGCCACCAGCACAUCAUCCACGUCCUGUAGUGAAUAAACUCAGAUAUUAGGGUCUACAAAUACAAAAGCAGAUACAUAAAGUAAAUACUAGUUACACAAGUAUAUUAACAACGUAAAUUCUUAGCAUACAUAAGCAUAUACAGAUAUAUUUAUGCCAGAGAGUGUGUAUGUCUAUCUGUAUGAUACCAAAGUAGUAUAAAAUGGCCCAACAUGGGGCUCUACAUAAAUAAACAGGUGCUAUAGAAUACGCUCCCCUAAGGAACAAUGCCAUCUCGGAUAACAAAAAUAACAUUGCUGUAAAACAGAUUAAAGGUAAAUAUAUAUAGGUACGCACCUGGGACCCUAUUUUCCCUAGAAGGGACUGAAGUGCUUCUUCACCAAAACCCAGCGAACCUCUGAGAUAAACUAACAUGUCAGAACAAUGCAAGAUAAAAGCCGAUGAAGUUAAAAGAAAUGGUUAUUUCUUUUCAUAUCCGUAGGCCAAUUUCAUAAUAUCUGAACAAGAUUGGAGCACAAUUUUGUUGACCCAGAUAAGAAAAUUCAGAAUGAAAGGACAAAAAGGAGAAUCAUAGCUUACCUAUAAUUUACAAGUAACAAACUGAACCCAAUUGAAGAGAGAAAUGCUAAGGACUUUGAAUAGCUUGACAAUGAAACAGAGUGCGGGCCUCCGUGGAGGAUUACAAUUAAUGGGUCAAAUGAAUCAUUUCUUUUAGUUUUGGAAGACACAAAUAUGGCUUCAAUUGGUUUGGCAGCACCUGAAAGGUUUUAAGCAUGUACAGGAUGUUAAAAUCAAUUUUUUUUUUUUUUACAAACAAGAAAUAAUUGGUUUAUAAUACCUUUUGUUACGCUACCAGAAACAUCCCUGACAGGAACCUUCAGUAUACUGAAUUGCAGAGAGGAGAGCAAAGAUUUAACCUAUGGCAAGUUGAAACAUGAGUUGAACAGAUGUAAGCUUUGAAGAUAAUCUUGAUAUGUGGAAAUAUAGAAAAGCAGAUUAAUGGACCUUCUCAGAGCAUUCACUUGGGGGGCUUGAUACAUUUAACCAACUCCAUGCGGUACUUGUACUUUCUUUAUCAACAAGGUAACCAUAAUUGAUAUGAGGUACAUCUACUGGACUGCUAGACACUUCAGAAAUCAAAGAUAAAGAGAAAUUUCGUUAUUGAUCAGUAAAUUUUUCCUGAGUAAUUAUCAGUACAAAAUGGCAAUUUCUUUACCAGCAAUGAUAUUGUCCCCAUCCAGUGUAAGAACAUCCCAUGAAUUUGAAUCAGCAGAGCUGAUACGUGAUACUUCCCCGCUGUACUUCCAUAUAACUUUCAUAGGUCAGUUAUAAAAAGUUAAAAAGGUAACGACCCCAUGGAGAUACGAGUGUCAUAUGAUUAGUCAUUAUAGUUACCUCAAAACAUUCACAGAAAGUAUCACUUGACAGCUACCCCAGAUAGAAGAUAUGAUCAUUGUGCAUCCAUCAGAAAGCCAUGGAUUACUAAGGAUACUUGACCAGUAAAGCCCAGGGAAGCAACCAUCCUCAGCACACAUAACAACAGGAAUCUUCAAAAAAGAAGUGUAUUAAGUGUUGUUAUAUAAGUAGGGAGAGAGAUAAAGAGAGAAAAAUUCAUAAAAAAUUUCCUAAACUUAUAUUAUUAUGUUGUGUGAUAUCACCUUCAUGAAAUGAAAACCUUUUGUUGAAGACAAUUAACCUAGAGUUCAAGGGUUCGCUACCCAUGCACAAAAGUACCGCACACCAGAAUAAAAAAAGGGAAGAAAACAGGUCAAAGGAAAUUUCUAUAUAUUGAAUUUCAUCCUCAGUGUGUAUGAAUACAACAUCGAAUUUACAAAUCAACUACAAAAGAUACCACUGGUAUAUAGUAGCAACUAGCAAAUAGCAAAACAGCAUCCAACCAAAACAAGUAAGCGAACCACGAUCUUUAAUCCUAACAGUUCUGGAAUGCAAACCCAUAUGAGUUUACACCUUUACAAGGAAACGCUUAAUGCUUACUUAUAAGCACAUCUUAACAAAUGAACCUUUGUUCAUAAUUUACAUGCACAUGGACUCGAACAAAGAAUUCCACAGAACUGAGUAGUUUAAAUUAUCAAUCAGGAAAUAAAAGUUGAUUAGUACAGAAAGAUAAAAGCCAGAGAGCUCACCACAUCAACAAUUUUUGCAGAUGAGGAUAGCACUCCAUCCACUGGCCAGUCUAUUCUGUGAAGAGAAUCUGUUGCAGAAUGUGCCCCGGAAUCCACAGAACUUCUAGCCGAUAAAAACAAAAGGAAUUUUCCAUCUGGGCUGCCAAAAUUACAUUGAUCAUGUUUCAAAUACAAUCAGAAUCAGUAAUUGUAAUGAUGUUUGAAACAAUCAACCAUCUAUUGGAUAAUGUGAAACAAUCAGUACAAUUCCGAUUCAAAUGUUCAUCAAACUUCAAUUAAUAUUAAGAUAUCAAUUUCCGUUUUGAAAUUAAAAGAGAGGCUAUAAACGUCAAAAACUUAUAUCAUAGACUAAAUUUGAGUACUGCAUGAUGUUACAGACCCUGGUAAAGUGCACACGAACACAUAACUAAGUGUCUGAUGGGGGAAAAAGUUACCAGAACCGUGGAUAGAAAGCACUACUUAUGCUUUGAGUCAGCUUUACAGCAGGAAGAUCUUCAGUUGAACUAGCUCUAGAACAGUGAAAGAAAGUAAUAGUUAUAUCAAAUGUAGAAGCACAAUGAAUUUCCAAAACAAUUAACAAGCAGAAGAUCCAAAAAAUCAAUAAGUAACAAUAAGUAUUGCACAAAGCAACUCACUUGAGUUCAGAUCCAUUUGCUUCUGAUUCAAAAUUUGGUGCCUUGACCACAUACAAUGCACAGGGCCUGUUAAAGCAGUACUUGAUACCAAGCUUUCUGAUACCUUCUGACCACCCAACAAAAACCAACGAUUGAUGCGAGCCUUUAACUGGUGGCGCCCAUACAACUUGACCAACACUCAAAGACUUUUCAAUUCCUUUGACAGCUUGUGCCUCUCCGCUGUACAGCAUAGGAUAAUUAAAGUUAGCCAGGCAUUUAAACGAGAAAUCUCCUUACUUCUAAUCCUGGUACUAAUAGAAACUAAACCAAUUGUUAAAGACCUGUUAAUAUUGAUGACAAAAAGUGCAGGCUGCCUUUUUCCAGCAUAGGUUUCCCCCCAUUCUUCCUUCCAAUCCCCUUGACCUUUCCAGUUACCAAAGUCCUUAUCCGUGGAACUACUUUUCUUGUAUCCCUGACCUGUAAAUGUGGGCUUGGAGGGAGCUGGUUCCUCAGCAACAUAAGCAAUGAGAGUUUCAUCAGCGUUCCAAGAAAUUCCCUGAAACCUGUAUCAUUGAAAAUUUGAACUCUUUUAUGCUGGAGGAAAUCUAGAUAUAUGAAAAGAUUAAUGAUCAAAACAGAGGCGUAAUUCUACUACUAUCACUAAAGGCAUAAAGCACAAAACGUCUAGUACACAAGACUAGCAUCAAAUAUCAUGUAUGACGAUAAUUGGAAAGACUGCAUUCACGAUGUUUACCAUCCAUCAGCAUAAACUGAACCAUGAACAGAUUGGGGAAUGUGGAAUUCUUUCUCCAAUUGACCUUGGCCCCAAAUUUCAAAUUGGCAGGGAGAUUCGUUCUCAGGAUUCCGAACCACAAAAAGCUUUGCACCGGACGGGGAUGGAACAAAUACAGAUACUCCUGUCAUCUCAACCGGGAACGGGGACCAUUGGAAGUUUACAGAAUUGUUACUUUCUCUUGAAAUAUGAGAGGAUAGAAUGAAUUUCUUCCUCUUGUUUGCCAAAAGAUUCGGUUGACUAAUUGAAAACAUUGCCUGAGACCCAAUUCCUGAAACAAAGUUUAAUGUGCAUGUCCUCAUUAGGAAAAAUUCUUUGGCUUUCAAUUAGAGAGGAAGUACAUGUGUUUAUAUAUUUCCUUACAUAUGUAAUGUACGUAUAUAUGAAUCUGUUGCAUGUAUGUAAGGAUAAGGACGUGCAUGUUAGAAGAAUGAGAAAUUGUACCGCUAUCAGAUUUAAAUGAGAAAUUGUACCGCUAUCAGAUUUAAAAAUCCAUGCCUUGUCAAUGCUGGAAAUACUAGUGAAGUCUUGAAGUAACCUAGACUGUGAUGCAUAUUCUUCCUCAGUUGUUGCAUCUACCCCAAGAGGCAUGUCCUUCACUGGACCAUCUUUAGAACUGCCCAUGGCUAAAAGCGUUGACAAUCUUUUACUACAGAGUAGAUUGCAUGGAAGAUAUUGUCAAUUUGUGAUGUCAAAGGACAAAUGAAAUUAUGCAGUAGCUCAUUACUCAAAUGGUCAGUAGCAUUGGUCAUAAAAAACAGCAAAUCUCCUAGAAAGAAAAAGAAAAAAUAAACUAUAUUUUCUUGUUUUUUCCUUUUAAAUGAAUGAGUUUUAGCAUGUCAUUCCUUCAUCAAUCGAAUACAGCAGACAUAUGAUAUAUUCCAAACAAUAGAAACAAGCAAUCCGCAACCUCAAAUUCUACUUAACAUGAAAAAUGAUGCUACUUUUGAUUAUUUUGAUCAACAUCGUUAACAGCUACCUGAAAUUUCUGCAAGUCAAUUUGCCACCUCAAAUUCUACAUAACUUGGAAUUGGCAUAUAGUAUACUCACACAUUUGAUACUACCACAUAGCACCUGUAAGAAUUUCGGCUACAGAAAGUCUUGAGGCCUCUUUCCAGUCAAGGAAAUUGCUCAAUUCAAUUUACACUUGCAAAACCAAAUUAAUACCCAUCGCCAUGAUCCAAUCUAGUAAAAAGGUAGCCGCGAAUUCGAGCACUGUGGACUAAAGUUGGAAUCUUUUUAAGUUGUUCUAUAUGGCCAUUCCAUCAAUCUAGAUUAACAUUAACAAUCGCACACUAGUUCAAGAAUUCAAACGAACAGGUUAUUCAAUUCCAUUCAAAGAUUUCCACUCUACGCAACCAAAAAUAAAUGAAUCAAAGCACCGAGCAAAGUGAGAUGAAGAAAGAAAGGAAGAACUAACAGAUACCCACCAAACAGUUUAGCACAAAAACUUGGAUUCGACGACUAAAAGUCAACAGUGUAACUGUGUAAGUAAGGAGAGUACACAGGUAUAGAUAGGGGAGAGAGAGAGAGAGAGAGAGCGCCAACUUACAUAGAGAGAAAAUUGCGAAAGGGUCUGCGACUGCUCGUCCUCGGAGUGAGAAGGUGCGAAGGUGAGAUUAAAUAGAAAGAGGAGGAGGGAAUCUUAUACCCAGGACUUAUUCCGUUCAUUUCUGCCUUCUAACAAAAGUGAUGCUCCACCUAAGGCCUACAAUAAAUAGAGUUUUUUAUUAUUUUAUUAUCAAUAAAUUAUACCUAUACUGUUAAAUAGUUCUCCAUUUGAUUCCAGUUGAUUGCUUAAUUGAGGUUUUUUGUUUCUGUUUUUCGCUCUUUCGUUAGUUCAUUGGCUUUCAUGUUGGGCUUAAGGAAAUGGGAAAUCAUUAAUUGGCAUUGUUCAAGAUAUGGUUCUGUUUUUUUAUUUAUUUGUGAAACGAUUUGGCUGAUGAAGAAAGUAGUUUUUUGCAUAUAGAUUACACACAUAUGGGCUGAUCUAUCUUUCCUAAUAAAUUUCCCAUUUGUUUCAGGUAUAAAAUUUUCUCAUCUAUUUGCAAACAAGUUUGGGUAUGUUCUUACUUCUCGCAAAAUGUUUUGUUUUUAGUAAUUAGGCAGGCUUAAUGUAUAUGACAUUAUUUUUGUUUUUGGCAGCAAAUCACAGUACAAAGGUGAGCCAAUUAUUCUCAUGGUCUUCAUUUUUAUAAUUUAUUUCCUUGGUUUAAUUUAUUAAUCUUAGUGAAGGUGUAAUUAUUGUGUAAUUAACUUUUUUUCUUGAUUCUAUUCCUUUUAUUUAUGUGAUUUUAAGCGGUGGGAAGCUGUUGCAUACCUUGCAUGCAAUAAGUAUAAAAUUUGAUGUCUUUUUAUGAGCUUUCCCAAACACCCCCCCCCCCCAAAAAAAAAAAAUUAGUGGAAAUGCUCAAUCUUUUUGUUUUACAAAGGAUAUCUCCGAUUUUGGCUUGGGUAUCAGGCCUUCUUAAUUAUCAUCUAUUAAUCUUUCCAUUCAUAGUGAAGCUUAAUUUUCAACCUGUUUUGGGGUGGCCACGUGAACCAUUCUUUGUCUUUCUGUUCACCAAGCACAUUUUCAUCAUCCUGAAUGUUAUUUGUACACUGUUUGUUUUUUCAUGUGUGUCGAUUUUGUUACCGAUGAUUUUUUUUAUUGAUAUAAUGUGAUGAUUUCUCUUGACAAAUACAGGUGCUUGAAAAAUUUCAACUCUGCAAGUUGGAAAAAAAAGGAGGGUUUCAAAAUACUGUGCUUUCACGCUUUGGCGUCUUUGUCUUUGUGUUUGAAAGAUUUCUGUACUAAAGGUGAGUGAGCUAAAAUUUUGGAAUUGUUAAGAUCAAAUUUUAAGUAUUUGUUUCGAUUUUGUUUUAUAAAGUAUGAAUAAACUUGGUAUUUCCUUUAACUUUAAUUGUGUUUAAAUUGAAAUCCUAAUUUUGAUGGUUUGUUCAUAAUUAAUGUUUGUUAUGUUUUUUUGCUGUGUGAUUUAUGUGUUAAUUUUUUUUUCUUUUUUUUUCCAAUCUUUUUUGCAGCUCUUCGCUUUUCCUCGUAACAAUUUGUUUUCAACAUGUCUAAAAGAUCUAUAAAUGCGUUGGUCAAUGAUGAUAACAACAAAAAACAAACAAAUAGUGAUAAUGAAUAUAAUGUCUUGGUUCAGUGUGACCAUCAGCCAAGAAAAGUGUGUAGAACCAGUUAUCUUGAAAAUCAUGAAAACGCUGUUUUAUCUCAGAUUGAUACAUUUCUUCGAACUCCAUAUUUUAAACAUCAGUGUAGUAGUAGUGGAUCAGCUGUUGUACAAUGCGAUUUGAAAAAUGCUAAUUAUGAUAAAGUGCAGCAUACUGCAUCUGUUGAAAAAAUUGUUCAGCCUUCUGAUCGAAAAGGUAAAAAACCUAUUAAUUUGUUGGAUAAUUCUGAUAACAUGGCUGAAAAAACGAUUGAUCCUCAAAAUUACAAUCUUAUGAACAAGGGCCAAGCAUUCUUCCAGAAAAGCAGAACUGGUAUGUUUUUUAAUUUAUAUAAAAAUAUAUUUCUGUUAUCGUGUAAAUUUAUAUUUAGUUUAUUGCAUAUCUUUCCUAAGUCCCGUUUUCUUUCUUUUCUUUCCUAUGUAUUUUUUUUGCAGGGGUUUUAAAAGAUUAUGUGGAUUUUGGGGAUAAGAAUUAUAAAUGUAGUCACUGCGGUGCCUAUUUUUUUUUGGUUGAAAGAGUCUCUUAAGCAAGUAUGUAAAAAAGAUGAACCUAUUUUCACUCUUUGUUGUCAACAAGGAAAAAUUGCUUUUCCAAAUCCAAAACCAACACCGCCUUUUUUAGAAUCUUUGCUUGAUCCAAAUGGUGGUCCAAAAAGUUUAUCAUUUCGAGAAAAUAUUAGAGCUUACAAUUCUAUGUUUUCAUUUACUUCGAUGGGAGCCAAAAUUGAUCACUCAAUUAAUGAUGGUUCAGGUCCUUAUAUUUUCAAAAUUAGUGGUCAAGUUUGCCAUUUGAUGGGAUCUCUGUUGCCUGCUGACAAUGAGUGUCCAAAAUUUGCACAAUUAUAUGUCUAUGAUACAUACAAUGAAGUGCAAAAUCGAUUGAAGGCUUUUGAAUCUGAUGGAAAUAAUAGAAAGCUUGAUCCAAAAAUUGUUGAAGGUUUGAUUAAGAUGUUUGAUAUGUCAAAUGAGUUAGUUAAGCUUUUUCGAACAGCAAGAGAUAAGUUUGAAACUAAUAGACUCACUUCUUUGAAAAUGAGAUUAUCAGCAAGAGAAAACAACAGAUGGUAAACAAUAUGACCAACCAACAAGUGAUGAAAUAAGUGGUCUGAUAGUUGGUGAUAUAGGACUUGCUGAUUCUAAUAGAGAUAUUAUUAUUGAGUCUAAAAGUGAAGGAUUAAAGCGUGUUACAAAAUUAAAUCCAAAAUUUAUGUCUUUGCAAUAUCCUCUUCUUUUCCCAUACGGUGAAGAUGGUUAUAGACCUGAUUUAAAAUGGAACAAAAAUUAUAAGGGUUCAGAGACUAAAAGACAAAGGAUACCCAUGAGAGAGCUUUUAUAGCGUAUCAAAUUCAAGAACGAGAACCAUGCUUAACAACAUUGUUAAAAGGGGGGAGACUUUUUCAACAAUAUUUGGUUGAUUCUUAUGCAACACUUGAAGAAGAUAGGUUAGAUUACAUUAGGCAAAACCAAAAAAAUUUAAGAAGUGAAGUUUACAAAGGAAUUUAUGAUGCGAUGUCAAGGGGUGAUAAUGAUGCAAACAAUUUGGGACAAAAAAUUGUAUUGCCUGCUUCAUACACAGGGAGUCCUAGAUAUAUGAUUAAUAAUUAUCAAGAUGCAAUGGCUAUUUGCAGAGAAUAUGGACAUCCUGAUUUAUUCAUAACAUUCACAUGCAAUAUAAAGUGGCCAGAAAUCAUAAGAGAAUUUCAGAAAAAACCAGGAUUCAAACCUGAAGAUAGGCCUGAUAUAAUUUCCAGAGUAUUUAAAAUGAAACUCGAUGAUAUGCUUCACUUUAUAAAAUCUGGAAAACCUUUUGGAGAAGUUGAAGCAAGUAAGUCUCUAAGAGUCCUUCUUUUCCUUUAUUAAUGUUUAUUUAUUUUUUUCUGACCUAACAUAAUUUUUUUCUCUGUUUGUUUGUUUUCUUUUAUUUUUCUUAUAAAACAGAUGUUUGCACGAUUGAAUUUCAAAAAAGAGGUUUGCCUCAUUCUCAUAUAUUAAUAUGGUUAAAAUCAAACUUCAAGUGUCAUUCCUCAUGUGAUAUAGAUUCUAUUAUUUCAGCUGAAAUACCGGAUAAAAAUUGUUAAUCCAAAGCUUUAUGAAAUUGUUAAUCAAUUUAUGAUUCAUGGUCCAUGUGGUCACAUUAAUUCAAAGUCUCCUUGCAUGCGAGAAAAUAAGUGUUCAAAAAAUUUUUCCAAAACCAUAUAAAAAAUGAAACACUAUUUGAGCCUAAUGGUUUUCCAAUUUAUAAGCGUUGUGACGAUGAUACAAAAUUUUUCAUAAAAAAUGGCAUCAAAAUUGAUAAUAGCUUUGUUGUUCCUUAUAAUGCAGAACUACUUUUGAGAUACAAUGCUCAUAUAAAUGUUGAAUCAUGUUGUCAAUCUAUGCUUAUAAAGUAUUUGUUCAAAUAUAUUAAUAAAGGUUCAGAUAGAGCACGGUUACUUCUUCAAGAAGAUUCAAAUGAUGAAAUAUUAGCAUAUCUCAAUUGUAGAUACAUAUCACCAUAUGAGGCUGUUUGGAGAUUGUUCCAAUAUUCAAUACAUUAUAGAGAACCUUCUGUUGAGCGAUUACCUGUCCAUUUACCAUUAGAACAAAACAUUGUUUUCAGUGGUAAUCAAUCAUUGGAAUCAAUUAUUAAUCAAAGAGCUUCUGAACAUACUAUGUUAACAGCUUGGUUUGAAGCAAAUAAAAUUUAUAAUGAAUCACGCUUGCUAACUUAUGCUCAGAUGCCAUCCAAGUUUUUAUAUGAUGGACGACAGAAGUUUUGGAAGCCAAGGAAACGCAAAGGAUCAAUUGGUAGGAUAGCAUAUGUGCACCCUGCAUCUGGUGAGUUAUAUUAUUUAAGAAUGCUUUUAAAUUUGAAAAAAGGUGCAUUGAAUUUUGAUGAUAUCAAAACUGUUAAUGGUGUUCUCCAUUCUUCAUAUCAAGCUGCAUGUAAAUCAUUAGGAUUAUUAGGUGAUGAUAAAGAAUGGUUAGAUGCUUUAUCAACUGCUACACAUGUUGCAUCAUCUCCUCAGUUAAGACAAUUAUUUGUUACAAUAGUUUUGUUUUGCGAUGUUGCAAAUCCUGAAAUUCUUUUUGAUACUCAUUGGAAAAAUAUGUAUGACGAUAUUUUAUACAAGCUGCAAAAAACUUUUGCAAUUCCUAAUAUGAUUGUUCCGGAAGAUGAACUAAAAAAUUCUGUCUUAUUUGAGCUAGAAUUACUUUUUAACAAUGCAUCUAGCUCUUUGCAAAAACAUUGUUUGCCAAUGCCUGAUGAAAAAAAGAUGCUAGAAAUAAAAAAUAAACUUUUAAGAGAAGAAUUAAAUUAUGAUUGUCAAGAAUUAUAUAGAAAACAUGAAAUAUUGAAAUCACAACUUAAUGAAGAACAAAAAUAUGUAUAUGAUACUGUUAUAGAUACUGUAAAUACAAGAAAACAAGGAUUAUUUUUUGUCUAUGGCCAUGGAGGUACUGGAAAAACAUUUUUAUGGGAUACAAUUAUAAGUAAGCUUAGAUCUGAAGGCAAAAUUGUUUUAGCUGUGGCAUCAUCAGGAAUAGCAUCAUUAUUAUUACCAAAUGGUAGAACAGCUCACUCUAGGUUUAAAAUUCCGUUGGUUAUUACUGAUACAUCAAUUUGUCCAAUAAAGAAAAAAACUCAUCUUGCCACAUUAAUUGAAAAAACUGAUUUGAUUAUAUGGGAUGAGGCACCUAUGAAUCAUAAAUAUUGUUUUGAAGCAUUGGAUAAAUCACUUUCUGAUAUUCUAUCACAUUUACAUGCUCCGAAUAACAUUGUUCCAUUUGGUGGUAAACCCCUUUUAUUAGGAGGUGAUUUUUUCGACAAAUAUUACCUGUUAUUCCUGGAGCAAACAAAGAAGAUAUAAUAAAUGCUUCUUUAAACAAUUCUUAUUUGUGGCCACAUUUUAAAAUUUUUCGUUUAAAAGAAAAUAUGAGGUUGUUAAGAAAUGAUAUAAGCAUUGAUGAAAAACAAAAAAAUCAAAGAUUUUGCAAAUUGGAUUUUAAAAGUAGGUGAUGGAGAAAUUGAUAACAUAGAUGCACUAAAUGAUUCAAAUGACAUUGAUACAUCUGUGAUUGAAAUACCUAAAGAUUUAAUAAUCCAUUCUUCCACAAACCCAAUUGCUGCAAUCUUUUUGUGCAACUUUUCCCAAUUUUGAAAAUUCUUUUGACGAUUUUGUAUAUCUAAGAGAACGAGCUAUUAUUACACCUCGAAACACAACUGUGUCGGAUGUAAAUGAUUAUAUAACUAAUUUAUUACCUAGAGAACAUCAUACAUUUUUAAGUUAUGAUUCUUUGUGUUCUUCAAAUGGAAAUUUUGAAAAUCUUGAAACAAUGUAUCCUACAGAAUUUUUAAACAAACUUGAUUUCAACGGUUUGCCUACACACAAUCUCAUUUUAAAAGUGGGAAUGCCAAUUAUGUUAUUACGAAAUUUAAACCAAUCUUUGGGUUUAUGCAAUGGAACUAGAUUGAUUGUGACACAAUUAUUUGAUAGAAUUAUUGAGGCUAAAAUUCUUGCUGGAACUAAUAUUGGUCACAAAGUUUUCAUACCAAGAAUCACUCUUGCAGCAACUGAAAGCAAAUGGCCUUUUAUUUUCAAAAAGACGCCAAUUUCCAGUUAGACCAUGUUAUGCAAUGACCAUUAAUAAAAGCCAAGGACAAUCUUUGAAACAAGUUGGAUUAUAUCUUCCUGAACCUGUUUUUACUCAUGGUCAAUUAUAUGUUGCAUUAUCUAGAGUUACAUCAAGAAAAGGUUUAAAAAUAUUGAUAGGAAAUGGAGAAAACAAUUUAAACAAUUAUACAAAAAAAAUAUAGUAUUUAAAGACGUGUUACAAAAUUUACAAUAAUUUGUUUAUAAUCAUGAAUACAUAUUGAGCAAUUUAUAUAGUUAUCAUUUGAUCACCUUCUUUUGUUAAAUACUUUCUUACUGCUACAUUAAUAUUCUUACCCACUUUUGUUCAACCAAAUGCAGGUUACCUUCAUUGGAACUACUGUUUUUAGUUUGCUUACAUAGGAAAUAAAUGCUGCAAUUGCACAUUUAUUUUAAUUAUGGUAAAGCCUCAAAACUAUUCCAUCUGCCUAUCCUAUUUUUUAAUAUUUCCUUAAACAUAUAGUAUAUAUCCAUUUCCAAUUUUCUACCUAAAUUAAAAAAAGAAUUCAAACAUUUUCAAAGAGAUUAAACAUGUUCUAAUAAACAAAGUUUUUACAAUUGCUUUUUCAAUGUAUAGUGAGAUGUUAACCUCUUCCUCCGCAGAUUCAAUGAAAAGAAGACACAUGACAAAUUCAACAACCAAGUUGCAACAACAACAACAACAACAAAGCCUUUUCCCACUAAGUGGGGUCGGCUAUAUGAAUCCUAGAACGCCAUUGCGCUCGGUUUUGUGUCAUGUCUUCCGUUAGAUCCAAGUACUCUAAGUCUUUUCUUAGAGUCUCUUCUAAAGUUUUCCUAGGUCUUCCUCUACCCCUUUGGCCCUGAACCUCUGUCCCGUAGUCACAUAUUCGAACCGGAGCGUCAGUCGGCCUUCUUUGCACAUGUCCAAAUCACCGGAGCCGAUUUUCUCUCAUCUUUCCUACAAUUUCGGCUACUCCUACUUUACCUCGGAUAUCCUCAUUCCCAAUCUUAUCCUUUCUCGUGUGCCCACACAUCCCACGAAGCAUCCUCAUCUCCGCUACACCCAUUUUGUGUACGUGUUGAUGUUUCACCGCCCAACAUUCUGUGCCAUACAACAUCGCUGGCCUUAUUGCCGUCCUAUAAAAUUUUUCCUUGAGCUUCAGUGGCCUACGACGGUCACACAACACGCCGGAUGCACUCUUACACUUCAUCCAUCCAGCUCGUAUUCUAUGGUUGAGGUCUCCAUCUAAUUCUCCGUUCUCUUGCAAGAUAGAUCCUAGGUAGCGAAGACGGUCGCUUUUUGUGAUCUUCGCUAGAUUGCUCCGGUCAUUAGUGUGGAUAAGUAUAUAAAUGGAUAGAGAUAGGAAAGCAAACACAAGAUGUACGUGGUUUACCCAGAUUGGCUACGUCCACGGAAUAGAAGAGUUCUCAUUAAUUGUGAAGGGUUUACACAAGUACAUAGGUUCAAGCUCUCCUUUAGUGAGUACAAGUGAAUGAUUUAGUACAAAUGACAUUAGGAAAUAAUGUGGGAGAAUGAUCUCGUAAUCACGAAACUUCUAAGUAUCGGAGUGUGGUGUCGUCUUGACUUGCCUUAUCUGUCUCAUAGGUAGAUGUGGGUGGUAUCUUUAACUGGUGGAGAUGCACAAGGUAAUGUAUCAAUUUCACUUGAAGCUUACUUGUAGUUUCAGGCUUGGUCAAGCGCGAUACAAACCAUGUAGUAGGAGUCCCCCAAGUCGCCGAGCUAGGGGGUCUGCUGAAAGAGGUGACAUACAAGGUAAGCAAUCAGAGCUCCGACUGAUUGUUCACCUUCUCCCCAUCUUGCAGCAGCAUGAAGGAUAAAGAGAAGAAAAAUGAGAAGAGAUGAUAUGAGAUACUUUUGCUUUUGAAUAAGUAACUUUCCACAGGCUUAUUCUUGAACUGAGCUGGAGGGUUUUCUGGUUUCCUCCAGAGUAUAAGGCCGACUGAAGAAUUUGAGGGUCAAAACAAGUCCAUCAAAUCUAGAGUACGUUCCACCCUGCUGAUAUGGGAUACUUUUGCUUUUGAUAGAGUAAUGGAUGUAUCGGCACGUGUGCUGUUACGCUUGUCUCCACAUGCUUCCUUGUAUCCUUCGCACUUGCCCAAUCUGUUCCUCAAGCAGAUGCGGAAUCUUCCCUGGAAACAUAAGAUGUUGAAGAUGAGUACUCGAGAGCAAUGCCAGGUAAGUAAUCAGGUAAGGGGUUCCAGGCAGUCAGUUCCUGGCUGGAAGCUUGAUUCCAAGUGCUGACUGAUUGCUCUCUUUCUCCUUGUCUUGCAGGUAAAAACAAGGCCAAAGGAAAAGACAGGGAAAAAGCAUGAUAUGGGAUACUCUUGCUUUUAACCCUGAUGAUAUGAGAUAUUCUUGCUCUAGUAUAGCUUGUUUGCAGAGGUAUUAUCGGGGGGAAAGAAAGCUGAAUAUUUCGAAAGGCUUCGUUGGGAGUGCCCUCUCAGAUAUGAUGAAGGGUUUGAGCAUUUUUUGCAGGUCUGCCUGUCCGUUGGGGAUAGAGGUCGACAUAUAUAGGAGUCUCCCUAACAACAAGUAGUAAUGCUAUUCCUUUACCCUGCUUGGUCAUAGCACGGUAGUGGGAGCUGCCAGUUUCACAUGUUUUAACUCUGUCAGAGCACUUUGAAAAAGUGGUCUGUGGUAUCUGGCUCUCGAGAUUCGGAGAACGAUGCCUCUUCGAUUUUUGAGAAAGCAAUCAUGCUGGGGGUCUGGCUCUCGAGAUUCGGAGAGCAGUGUCUCUUCGAUUUUUUAGGAAGUAAUCAUGUUGGGAGUCUGGCUCUCGAGAUUCGGAGGGCGGUGCCUCUUCGAUUUUGGAGCAAGCAAUCUGUUGGGAGUGUUGUCUCGAAUGUGAGUAAAGGUUGGGCAUGUUUGCUAGUCUACCUUGCCACGAAGCACAAAGGUUGACACACAGGGACUUUCCAAUUAUCCAGCAAUGGUACUGUUCCUUUACCCUCUCUUCGCUUUUGAGAAAGUAGUCAUGGUGGGAGUCUGGCUCUCGAGAUUCGGAGGACGGUGCCUCUUCGAUUUUGGAGCAAGCAAUCUUGUUGGGAGUGUUUUCUCGAAUGUGAGUAAAGGUUGGGCAUGUUUGCUAGUCUACCUUGCCACGAAGCACAGAGGUUGACACACAGGGACUUUCCGAUUAUCCAGCAGUGGUACUGUUCCUUUACCCUUAUGGGUAAUAAUAUGGUAGCUAGACCUUCAAAAUUUAUGUGUCUAAACUUUGUUAGUGCUGUUUCUUUGCUAUUUUUUUACCUUUCUUAGUCAGAACGAUGUAGUGGGAGCUGCAAGCUUCACGUGCUCAACUUUGGCAGAGAACUUUGGCAAAGUUAUCUGUGGUACCCAUGAGCUAUUGUUGCGUGUGGGAAGUGGGUGAUUGAACAGUAAGAUUCAUGUGCUUUCUACUUCACCAGAAGUCUUCGACAGAAUGCCCAUAAUUUCUGCAAAGCUGAGUGUGCGUGUGACAGGUGCUGACAAGGCUAGAAAAGUAGGUGCCUCUUCGAUUUCUGAGAUCGGCCCUCGUGGUCUCUGAGCAGCCCAGCUUUUGAGAAAGCGAGCGCCUCUUCGAUUGAUUCGGAGAACGAUGCCUCAUCGGUUUUUGAGAAAGCAAUCAUGCUGGGGGUCUGGCUCUCGAAGAUUCGGGGUCUCUUCGAUUUUUGAGAAAGUAAUCAUGUUGGGAGUCUGGCUCUCGAGAUUCGGAGGGCGGUGCCUCUUCGAUUUUGGAGCAAGCAAUCUUGUUGGGAGUGAGAUUCGGAGGACGGUGCCUCUUCGAUUUUGGAGCAAGCAAUCUUAUUGGGAGUGUUUUCUCGAAUGUGAGUAAAGGUUAGGCAUGUUUGCUAGUCUACCUUGCCACGAAGCACAGAGGUUGACACACAGGGACUUUCCAAUUAUCCAGCAGUGGUACUGUUCCUUUACCCUUGUGGGUAAUAAUAUGGUAGCUAGACCUUCAAAAUUUAUGGGUCUAAACUUUGUUAGUGCUGUUUCUUUGCUAUUCUUUUACCCUUCUUGGUCAGAGCGAUGUAGUGGGAGCUGCAAGCUUCACGUGCUCAACUUUGGCAGAGAACUUUGGCAAAGUUAUCUGUGGUACCCAUGAGCUAUUGUUGCGUGUGGGAAGUGGGUGAUUGAACAGUAAGAUUCAUGUGUUUUCUACUUCCCCAGAAGUCUUCGACAGAAUGCCCAUAAUUUCCGCAAAGCUGAGUGUGCGUGUGACAGGUGCUGACAAGGCUGGAAAAGUAGGUGCCUCUUCGAUUUCUGAGAUCGGCCCUCGUGGUCUCUGGGGAGCCCAGCUUUUGAGAAAGCGAGCGCCUCUUCGAUUUCUGAGAUCGGCCUUCGUGGUCUUUGAGCAGCCCAACUUUUGAGAAAGCAAACGCCUCUUCGAUUUCUGAGAUCAACCCUCGUGAUCUCUAAGCAGCCCAACUUUUGAGAAAGCAAACGCCUCUUCGAUUUCUGAAGCUCCGUCGAGUGCAGAUUUUUAUAGGGGCUGGCAUUAAGUUCCAAAGCACACUUGAAUCUCCACCCAGUAGAAGCUUCAUUCUUGCACUUCUAAGAUCUUGAUUUGUCCGACCUCUUCUCUCUUCAACACCUUUGAAAAUGUCUGGCCCCUCCGACCGUCGUUUUGACUUGAACCUUGUUGAAGAGGCAGCCCCGCCUUCUCCAGACAACAUAUGGCGCCCAUCCUUCGUCUCCCCUACUGGUCCUCUUACCGUUGGGGAUUCCGUGAUGAAGAAUGAUAUGACCGCUGCGGUGGUGGCCAGGAACCUUCUCACUCCCAAAGAUAACAGACUACUUUCCAAACGGUCUGAUGAGUUAGCUGUUAAGGAUUCGCUGGCUCUCAGUGUUCAGUGUGCAGGUUCUGUGUCUAAUAUGGCCCAACGCCUAUUUGCUCGAACCCGCCAAGUUGAAUCAUUGGCGGCUGAAGUGAUGAGUCUCAAACAGGAGAUUAGAGGGCUCAAGCAUGAGAAUAAACAGUUGCACCGGCUCGCACAUGACUAUGCUACAAACAUGAAGAGGAAGCUUGACCAGAUGAAGGAAACUGAUGGUCAGGUUUUACUUGAUCAUCAGAGAUUUGUGGGUUUGUUCCAAAGGCAUUUAUUGCCUUCGUCUUCUGGGGCUGUACCGCGUAAUGAAGCUCCAAAUGAUCAACCUCUGAUGCCUCCUCCUUCUAGGGUUCUGUCCAGUACUGAGGCUCCAAAUGAUCCCUCUCCGGUGCCUUCUCUUUCUGGGGCUCUACCGACUGCUGAGACUUCUCCUAAGCAACCUUUGUGAAGGCUCCCUUUUGUGUGUUUAUUUUGACUCAUGUAUAUGUACAUAUUUGUAGCUUAUCGGGGAUAUCAAUAAAUAAGCUUUCCUUCAUUUCAACGUAUUGUGUUAAAUACACCAAAGCCUUCUUCGCUAAGUUCUUUGAAUUUUCUUUUGUUGAAGCUUGUAUGUUGAAGCUUUCUGAGUGGAGCAUGUAGGUUGGGGUAGUGUUCCCUUAAUUUCCCGAGUGAGGAAAACUUCUCGGUUGGAGACUUGGAAAAUCCAAGUCACUGAGUGGGAUCGGCUAUAUAAAUCUUAGAACGCCAUUGUGCUCGAUCCUGUGUCAUGUCCUUCGUUAGAUCCAAGUACUCUAAGUCUUUUCUUAGAGUCUCUUCCAAAGUUUUCCUAGGUCUUCCUCUACCCCUUCGGCCCUGAACCUCUGUCCCAUAGUCGCAUCUUCUAAUCGGAGCGUCAGUAGGCCUUCUUUGCACAUGUCCAAACCACCGUAACCGAUUUUCUCUCAUCUUUCCUUCAAUUUCGGCUACUCCUACUUUACCCCGGAUAUCCUCAUUCCUAAUCUUAUCCUUUCUCGUGUGCCCACACAUCCAACGAAGCAUCCUCAUCUCCGCUACACCCAUUUUGUGUACGUGUUGAUGUUUUCACCGCCCAACAUUCUGUGCCAUACAGCAUCGCCGGCCUUAUUGCCGUCCUAUAAAAUUUUCCCUUGAGCUUCAGUGGCAUACGGCGGUCACACAACACGCCGGAUGCACUCUUCCACUUCAUCCAUCCAGCUUGUAUUCUAUGGUUGAGAUCUCCAUCUAAUUCUCCGUUCUUUUGCAAGAUAGAUCCUAGGUAACGAAAACGGUCGCUCUUUGGUAUUUCUUGAUCUCCGAUCCUCACCCCUAACUCGUUUUGGCCUCCAUUUGCACUGAACUUGCACUCCAUAUAUUCUGUCUUUGAUCGGCUUAGGCGAAGACCUUUAGAUUCCAACACUUCUCUCCAAAGGUUAAGCUUUGCAUUUACCCCUUCCUGAGUUUCAUCUAUCAACACUAUAUCGUCUGCGAAAAGCAUACACCAAGGAAUAUCAUCUUGAAUAUGUCCUGUUAACUCAUCCAUUACCAACGCAAAAAGGUAAGGACUUAAGGAUGAGCCUUGAUGUAAUCCUACAGUUAUGGGAAAGCUUUCGGUUUGUCCUUCAUGAGUUCUUACGGCAGUCUUUGCUCCUUCAUACAUAUCCUUUAUAGCUUGGAUAUAUGCUACUCGUACUCCUUUCUUCUCUAAAAUCCUCCAAAGAAUGUCUCUUGGGACCCUAUCAUACGCUUUUUCCAAAUCUAUAAAGACCAUGUGUAAAUCCUUUUUCCCAUCUCUAUAUCUUUCCAUCAAUCUUCGUAAGAGAUAGAUUGCCUCCAUGGUUGAGCGCCCUGGCAUGAACCCGAAUUGGUUGUCCGAAACCCGUGUCUCUUGCCUCAAUCUAUGCUCAAUGACUCUCUCCCAGAGCUUCAUUGUAUGACUCAUUAGCUUAAUACCCCUAUAGUUCAUGCAAUUUUGUACGUCGCCCUUAUUCUUGUAGAUAGGCACCAAAGUGCUCGUUCGCCACUCAUUUGGCAUCUUCUUCGUUUUCAAAAUCCUAUUGAAAAGGUCAGUGAGCCAUGUUAUACCUGUCUCUCCCAAAAGUUUCCACACUUCGAUUGGUAUAUCGUCUGGGCCUAUUGCUUUUUUAUGCUUCAUCUUCUUCAAAGCUACAACCACUUCUUCCUUCCGGAUUCGACGAUAAAAAGAGUAGUUUCUACACUCUUCUGAGUUACUCAACUCCCCUAAAGAAGCACUCAUUUCAUGUCCUUCAUUGAAAAGAUUAUGAAAAUAACCUCUCCAUCUGUCUUUAACCGCGUUCUCUGUAGCAAGAACCUUUCCAUCCUCAUCCUUGAUGCACCUCACUUGGUUUAGGUCCCUUGUCUUCUUUUCCCUUGCUCUAGAUAGUUUAUAGAUAUCCAACUCUCCUUCUUUGGUAUCUAGUCGUUUAUACAUAUCGUCGUAAGCCGCUAACUUAGCUUCUCUGACAGCUUUCUUCGCCUCUUGCUUCGCUUUUCUAUACCUUUCACCAUUUUCAUCAUCGGUCCUCUCCUUGUAUAAGGCUUUACAACAUUCCUUCUUAGCCUUCACCUUUGUUUGUACCUCCUCAUUCCACCACCAAGAUUCCUUUUGGUGUGGGGCAAAGCCCUUGGACUCUCCUAAUACCUCUUUUUGCUACUUUUCGGAUACAACUAGCCAUGGAAUCCCACAUUUGGCUAGCUUCCCCCUCUCUAUCCCACACACAUUGGGUGAUUACCUUCUCUUUGAAAAUGACUUGUUUUUUCUUCUUUUAGAUUCCACCAUCUAGUCCUUGGGCACUUCCAAGUCUUGUUCUUUUUUGUCUUACUCUUUUGAUAUGUACAUCCAUCACCAACAAGCGAUGUUGAUUAGCCACGCUCUCUCCUAGGUAUAACUUUGCAAUCCUUACAAGUUAUACGAUCCCCUUUCCUCAUUAGAAGAAAAUCUAUUUGUGUUUUUGACGACCCACUCUUGUAGGUGAUCACAUGUUCUUCUCUCUUCUUAAAGAAGGUGUUGGCUAAGAAGAGAUCAUAUGCCAUUGCAAAAUCCAAGAUAGCUUCCCCAUCCUCGUUUCUCUCCCCAAAACCAUGGCCACCAUGAAAACCUCCAUAGUUGCCUGUCUCCCUGCCCACGUGUCCAUUUAAAUCUCCUCCUAUAAAUAACUUCUCCGUCUGAGCAAUUCCUUGCACCAAGUCUCCAAGAUCUUCCCAAAAUUUCUCCUUCGAACUCGUAUCCAACCCUACUUAAGGUGCAUACGCACUAAUCACAUUGAUAAGUUCUUGUCCUAUUACAAUCUUGAUUGCCAUGAUUCUAUCUCCUACCCUCUUGACAUCUACAACAUCUUGUACCAAGGUCUUGUCCACGAUGAUGCCAACACCGUUUCUCGUUCUAUUUGUGCUCGAAUACCAAAGUUUAAACCCUGAGUUUUCUAGAUCCUUUGCCUUACUACCAACCCACUUAGUUUCUUGUAGGCACAUAAUAUUUAUCCUUCUCCUCACCAUAACUUCCACUACUUCCAUAGAUUUUCCCGUUAAGGUUCCUAUAUUCCACGUUCCUAAACGCAUUUUGCUCUCUUGAACUCUACCCUUCUGUCCUAGCUUCUUCACCCUCCCUCGUCUAAUAGGAUCAAAGUACUUCUUUUUGUGUGUCCCGGGUAAAGUUGAUAGGAGCAUAUGCUCCCAAACAACUUUGAGUGGAGUCGUUCGAAAAGAAGUUUCUAUGGCCCCCUUGCUCAUUUAACACUGCAUCCGGGUGCCGAUGGAGAUACAGCGACCCUUGCUCACUUAUCACUGUGCUCGGGCCACACAGCGCGCCACUUACGGGUGACGCCCUAGCUUUAGCGCGAUUUUGUUCUGGAUUCAUUUUCAUAAGGAUUCGACGUGAUCAUGGAGUGUCGGCUGUCGACUACCUGACGCCCUCCCCCUCCUCCUUUAUCCGGGCUUGGGACCGGCCAUGUAAGACAUAGGCGGAGUUUCAACAACCAAGUUGCAGCUACAACAAAUAUGUUUAAGCACGGUAUAAAAGCAAAGAUUAUUAGGUAUGGCCUAAAUCCUCAACUACAAUGGAAUGACUUAAUGGUAUGUUUUUCUUAACUUUCUUUUCUUUGCUGAUUCCCGUUUAAAUUCAAUAUUUACUAACCUUUCUCUUCAGAGGAAUUCGUUGCUACCAAUGUAUGUAUAUACAAACGAUCUUCUUUUUACCUAAUCUGAAUACAUAGCUUAUUCCUUGCUUGACCAUUGAUGAGUUAAGGGGGACAUAUGUACAAAGUAUAUCUUCAAUGAGAACAUCUUCAUCUAUACUUUUGUAUGUCCAACUCAAACCUCUCAUUAGACAACCAACCAAUUAGCCAUGUGUUCACAAUACGUCAAAAGGAGAAAGUUUUUGUGUAUAAAUUGUUAGCAACCAAUUCCUCUAAGAGAAAAGAUGGAAGUGAUGAUUAUUUCUCCAAAUGAUGAAGACUGAAAUAACUCAGCAUACUUUGUCUCUAUAUUACAAAGAGGCAUCUAACUAGCUAUAUCUGAUCCAUCUUUUUACAUGUUUCACUUCACUUUUACAGAUAAAAUACUAAUGAAUUAACUCUUGAUUAACAAUGUCAUUGUUUAAAUUAUUUCAAGUGUUGCUUUUAUUCAACCUGUUUGAAUUUUGCCAUUUACACACUCCUAUAGGAUUUUGGAUUUUUGUGAAUUUUCAAGAUUUUCCUUGGCUUCAAUUUUUCUUUUUCAAUCUGUCUAUCAUGUUUCCAUUGGCCAUUUCAUCAUUUUCGCCCCACAGUAAAAUUACAAUUAUCAAUAUGGAUCCUACCAACAAUGCAUUGCCAUAUCGUUUUCAUUUUUUUCCUGUUUUGUUAUUUGUAGUUUUCGUUGUGUGAUUAGUAUAAGCAAAAUCAUAUAAGAUUUUGGUUUUUUGUGGGUUUUCAACUUUUUUUCAUGGCUUUUUGACCAUUUAAUUGUUUUUGGCUCCAAAGAAAAUUACAGUUCUCGAUUUGCAUUCUUCCAAGGGUGCAUAACCGUAUCCUUUUCUCAUUUUUGUUUUUGUUUUUCUGUUGUUUCUAAUUUGCUGUGUAGCAUUCUAUUCCAUGUACAAAGUUGAGCCUUUAAUAAAUUUAGUUAUGAAUGUUUUGUAAACAUGGAAGACCUUAUAAAACUCAAUCAUGUGAUGGUGGAGCACUCUUUUGCUCCCAAUUGAGGUUAGUGUUCUUUAUUGACUCUAUAAAAGUUCAAUGGUUGGAUAAAGUAAACAGAAGAUUUUUUUUGGGUUUGUGAAUGAACAAGGAAAACAACGGAAAUAUAGGAACUUAUAUUAGACUCUCAAAAAUUUUCUUUCAAACAUAGGUCAAUUUUCUGUUUACUAACAUCAUAAUACCUCUUCCUCUAUUUGAAUUUAAUCCCCUUGUUCUCAUUUUCUAUACAAAUGGUUCUGCACCUUUCAUUCAAACUUGAUCAUUCUAUAAAUAUCUAUAUUAUUUUAUCCUUUUGAAACAUAUUUUCUCAUACAUUUUCUAAUCCCGCAGCAACGCGCGGGCACUAUUUCUAGUAUAUUACUAUUCAUUGAGAAGAAAAUGAAUAAAAAGAAAAGGCAUUUUUUUUAUUAACAUCCCAAACAAUGUUAAAUCACCCCAUAUUUAUAAUAACUCAUAAGCCCUAAUAUGCAUUGACAAUUUUGACCUAAUUAAAUAUACAAAUGGAACACCACCGAAAAAGGAAGACAUGGCCGGCCAUCACCAGUUAACACUACUCUAUCUGGAUGGGAAUGAACAAAGCUUCUCAUUUGCGGAUUAAGGACAUUUGACCAUCUCGUAUUGCGCUGAACCCCAUAGGUGUUUGUCAUAGCAAUAGAAGCAAGGGCAAGUAGGAUGGUGAAACAAUCCAUUAUGUGGGUAAAGCCCAUAUGGAUCAGGAUUGUUUUCAACAUAAUGUUUAGAAAAGUAUGGAAGCUACGGUUGCUCGUAUUGGUAGGAAAGGGAUGAGGAGCUCCACUGUGCAUGCGGGACCCAAAAGGAUCACCAUAUCUAGGAUAAUUGUUUGAAAUAGCACAUAACAUUGUGGAUUUUCUGUAUAAAAUGUGGAGUUUAUGUUGAGAGUGUAGUGUGUGAGGAUAUUAUUGGAAGUAAUGUGGGGAGUAUUAAGAUAAAUUUUAAUUGAAAAAAACAAAUAUGAGGUGUAUUAAGUAUGUGGGGCGUAUUCAACAAUAUAUGGGGUGUUAAUAAAACAACCCAAAGAAAAUAAAAUAGACUAAAAAAUAAAAAAUCUUUCAAUUCUCAAAUAAGAGAAGAAUAUAAUAGAUCAUACUUUCAUAUAAUAUCUUAAUUGAAUCAUAUGAAACGAUCAAUAAAUUCAGUUUCAUUUGAGAGUUUGUGAGGACCAACUCUACCUCAAUCAUAGAAUUUUAUUAAGAGAUGAUUAGAUUGGGCUGCUUAAAUUUUACAUUGUUUUGAUUAAUAUAUUUCUGCAAAUUAAAAUUCUACAUAUUGAAUUCUGAAUUUAUCCUCCUCUAUGGGAGUUUUUCUCUUUCUUUUUUCCUGGCAUGGCCUUUUAUUCAGGGAUAUUUAUUUUAAGGAUGACUUUGGAUGCGAUCCUUAUUGAUCAACGUUAUUUGAUUGAAACUUUGUUGGUUUUCGGUUUUUGAUUGAAAUCCCUAAAAUUAAUGCAAUAAUGCAUUUUCAUGUAGGUUAUUAUAAUAUUUAAAUUAAAAUUUGAUAUUUGUGGUUAUUUAUAUUAAUGAGAUUUUAAAUAAAAUUCAUAAUUUAUUGAAAAUAUUGAAAGAAAUUAUACCUAAAUAAAACCCAUGAUUUGUCAUUACUUAUAUUAAUGACAAUUUACAUACAAAAAAUUGGUAAUUUUUAUACGAUGCAUUUUACAUACAAAAAGUUAUACAACAAAAAGGUCAUACGUUUUAUAUAAUGGAUAGAUUUCAUAUAAAAAAAAAAGAAACAAUGGGUACAUUUUACACAAAAGAGAUGGUACUUACGAAAAAAAAAAUGGGUACAUUUUACAUAUAACAAAGUGAUACAUUUUUAAAGACAAAUGGGUGCAUUAUUAAUAAAUCAUGGGUACAAAUAAAAAGGUCAAAAAAAUAUGAGUACAAAUAAAAGUUUGGAAAAUAUGGACACAAAAAGAAAUUAAUACAUGGGUACAAACUAAAACUGAAUAGAAAAUUGGCACAAUUAAAAAAUAAAAAAAAGGGUUGCAAAUUAAAAUGGGUACAAACUAAAAAUAAAAAUGCAUAAUACAAAAUUUAGCCAUAAAUAUAAAUAUAUCAAAUGUAACGUUUCUAACACUAAAUGAAUAAUUUAAAAAUAAAAUUUAAUUAUCUUGGGAUGUAAAAUAUUUUAUUAUUGAAAUAAUUAAUGAUGUUUAUUAAAACCAAUGGACCUUGAUUAAAAUUUGAAAAGAAAUAAGAUUUCAAUCAAUGGAGUUGAAAAAAAGAGGAAUGAGAACUUAAUUUUUUUUUUUUUUACUUAUUAGUUAUGUUUAUCCAGAUUCAUUCUCACUUGUAAAAUUUGGAUGGGCUCUUCCAUUUGAAUUAGUGGUUGUUUUCAUAAAAUUUAUUUUCUUCACAUUUGAAUAGUAAUUCACUUUUGAGAUAUUUUAGGUUUCUUGUUGCUUGAUGUUUUCGAUGUUUUCUGUUUUUUUCCUUGUUCUCUAACCGAUGCUUCUGAUUUUGGGGCAUGAUGCUUGGUGAGCAACCCUAGUUUGGUAUGGUUAAAUGGUAGCACAACAAAUGAGAGUGUCACCGGCCACAUUAGCUAGUCAAACAGAAGUUUGGAGGAGGCAAUAUCUUCAAAUAUACCAAAUAAGAACCACCUUGCUCAAGAGGCAUGUUUCUACAAAGGACGGAGAACACAUUUGGACAGUUUAAAACGUACCAAAUCGAAAAUAUGUCUCACAAUAUUAUUAAUUUACGUACCAAAUGACUGGUAUGAAUAAAUUAAUAAAUAAUUAACAUUACAUAAUAAAUGUACCAAAAUAUUGAUAUGUACACACCAACUACACAAAAAAAAGGUACCAACCAUUAUUAAUAAUAAUCAGUCACUCAACCAAGUUGAUAAAACAAAGAAUGAUAAUUCUAUUUUCAAACUUGAUCAAGCCAAACGUACCCAACCAAAAUAAGUUAUACAAAAUCACAUGGAAACUAACCCAAAAAUUUCUAUUUAACUUUGACGGAGGUACAAUACAAACUUCAAUUGACAUGAUCCGUACGUUUAAUUAUACGUGGAAUGUGUAGUUAUUACCAAACUUCAUUUGACAGGAUCGGUUUUGUUCAAAAACAAAAACAAAAAUUGACAGGAUCGAUACUUUUAGUUAUGCCUUCAAAUGUACCAAAGCAUUUGAGAUAAAAUGCACCCAAGAAUCCAAUUAAUAAGAAAUAGAUACGUUAGAGGCUACCAUUUAAAACGUUUGUUGGAAGGUAUUUGGUAUGUUACGUUUGUUGAAAGUUAUUAAAUACGUUUUAAAUUUUUUAUUGUUAAUUUUUCAAAAGGGAAGUGUGAGUGGCACUUCAAAAAUCUUAUUUUACACUCCUGUUGACCCUAGAAACUACCAAGCCUACGUGGCGCGCAUGCCGAGUAAUCUAUAAGCUAACUACGUCCUUCGGUGAAUGCGGGGCGUGCCAACUCGUCGGCCGAGCUCGGCCGAUGAGUAAAUUUUGUUGAUGUUGCAUUGGGUGUGCGGCUGACUUCUGCGUCUUGCGUUUGCGGCCGAGAAAGGAACACGUCUCGGCCUCUUGGGCUCUCGAACCUGAAGACAAGGUUACUAUUCUUACGAAGUUCAAUAUCAAAUUCGGCUUUCAAUGUGCCGAAUGUAAUAACUGUAACACCUCACUUUGCCGAGAAGGCUGAUGAGAUGACCUCGACCAAUAAGGAUUUAGAAACCCUUCUCGACCGAGACUUGGAUAGGUAAUCAACUGUUCUCGCCGCAGUGCUGUUGAUGCCAACGGAAGAUACUGCGAGAGCGACUAAUUCUACGGUGACAGGGCUAUCUAUGCCGACUUAAGAUAUCACCGGUUGCUUCCACAGUGCUGUUGAUGCCAACGGAAGAUGUGUCAGCGAAAAAGAAAAAGGAAAAAGAUCUCAAGUUGUUGAGAGUUUGCGCAGGGCAAUUUUGUAUUGAUUUGCAGAAGGCCUAUCUGACGCACAGCUUCCCCUAUUUAUAGCAUUGGAUCUUGAAUCCGAGUUAAAAUCCUACUCGGACUAGGUCUUCCUCUCCGGAUCAACACCACCUCGACCAGUCUUAUCUUUACUAGGAUUGUGACCCUAGUCCUUAACUGAGCCGGAUUCGCUUUCUGGGCUACUGAUCCCGCAGAGACUCCCUAUUGUACUAGGACUCGACUUGCGUUAUGAUCUAACCGACCUAGGCUUGGAAGCCCACGAGCUGAACGAUCCAUGGCCCUCUCGUUGCACGGCCUCCCAGGCCGAGAAUGAUCCUACCCUCGGCCCAAACUAUUAUUUUGGGCCCAAACAUUGCCCCCUCGCUUUUGAGGUCCUCGGCCUGAAUUCCUCGGUCAAGUUUCGGCCUUGAAGAAGCGAAUCUACCACUCAGAACCCUAGUGCCCGAGUUCCAAGGCGCAUUUAUUGAACAUGAUUGCACGAUCUUGAUCCUGCUAACCAAACUCGCCACGUGGCGUCCUCCAACACGGCCAAUCCCCAAUAAUGACGUCUAAGGCGAGCGGCUGCCUGAACCGUCCUGCCAUCAUGAUCUUAUGGCUGAACUUAACCACUACCUCAAUCCGCGAGCCACUACCUCCAUCUGUGAGUCACUUGUCAUCGUGCAGGCGUCGAAACGUCUUCCGCCAUUAAUUUCGCCGUUACACGCAAUCGUGCGCCCCUAAAACCUGAGACCUUCGGUCUUCUCAACUGCAUUUCCCAAAUGUUCAUCAUGAUCAGCAAUUCCUUCGGUCGAUUUUGCCCUCUGUUUUGAAUUUCAAACGAUUGCCCUUCCUGCCAAAAUCCUAUAAAUACUGAAAUCCCUCAUUCAUACUUUACGCUUCCAAAAUCACUCCGAAAUUUCUUGCCCUUGUUCUCCAACACAUUUUUCUUCCCAGGUCUUCGUCUUCAAAUCCCCCAACCCAGAAAACUUUUUACGCCGUGCUUCCUUCCUACAAUGGCGUCCUUCAUCUCUAAGCUUUCCAGGGAAUGUGACCAGCAUCAGAAAAUUCUUGAUCGGAGCUCGAUCAAAACCAUACGGUUUGAAAGUGACAUGAGCCCUUCCCACCAAAUCUUGGGUCCUAUUUUCAAGGCGGCAGUACCGUCGACCAUUACUGGCCUUCUCCAGGAGCACUGCCUAACACCCUUGCUCCAAGGGUUUGAAUGGUCGAGAUGGGAUGUGGCGAAACCCCAAGGCUCCUGGCCCUCGACGACCACAACUUGGGCAGCCUGGGUUGUUCGAAUGGAAAGGCUCUUCGGCGAGCAAUGGAAGGCCAUUGGCAUCUACGACGCCAUCUUCCUCUCGUCAAUGGAUGUCGUUCCCGACAAGGAGCUUCUUCUAAUCGCCUUGUGCUUCUGGUGCUCGGCCACCAACACCAUGGUUCUUCCUCUUGGUCUCAUCGGCCCCACCAUUCUUGAUGUCACCGCCAUUUUGGGCACUUCGGCAACUGGGAUCCCCAUUGAUGCGGCCCUCUCUGGGUACCCGUCGAAUAUUGACCUGAAGACGCUUUUUGAUCGACGGGCUUUCGAGACGUUGAACCAUGAAGGUCAAAUCCCGUCGAAAGAAGACAUUCAGAAGCUCCACAAGAACUUCUUCAAUUACAAUACUCUCUAUCUCCAUUUCGCCGGCCGAGGAGAAGAAGACCUGCGAUAAGGAGAACAUGAAGCUUUCCUCUUCUAUUGGUACAACAAGUACAUUUGUUGUACCAAGUCGAACAAAUGCUUGGUCGAGAACAUGCCGGUAGCCGAGGCCCUGGCUAGUGGUCACGUCCUGUCACUGAGCUCCAACAUUCUCGCCCAUCUCUUCCGCUGCCUGGCCGAGGUGACCCUUCACAAGAUCGACCCACACCAGAAUGGUCCCCUCUGGGUCUUCCAACUCUGGUUACAAGUUUAUUUCGCCUCCCUUCGGCCGGCCAUAGCCGAUUUCUCGCCAACGGAGGUGCUUGGACCUCAGCUGGCCUCCCGACCGACACCCCCUCGCCAAGCCGAAGAGGUAUUUAGGUACCUCUUCGCCCUUGAUGACCUUUCCAACGACGAAUUCCUGAUAUGUCGUCGUCGGGACUAUCCUUCCUCCGUCAGGCUACCUACAUCCAUGUGGGGCGCGGUCGAAGAUGCCGACCUUCAUCAGUCCUGGGGGUCGUUCAUGCUUACUCGCGACCUUCCUCUCGGCUGCGAUGGGAAACGAGCGGGUUGGGAAGUAUACCAUCCUAACUUCCUUGCUCGACAGCUCGGCUAUCUCCAAGGCUGCCUGGUCCCCCUACUCUCCUCCCGGACCGUCCUAAGCCGUGGACAUGAACCCCGUUCCUCGGAGAAGGAAUGCAACACCGCCGCGAGGGAGUUCUAAGAGCAAUGCCAAAAAUUCCGCCUUUGACCGGCCACCCCAGAAACCCUUUGCACUGACACCUUCGGUGACUGGUGGGAAGAGUAUACCCAGGAGUUCUUUGGUGCUCCAGUCGAAGGUGUGCUGAACAAACUCUUCGGUGAACGGCCUAAGAAGGCCUCGGCCCCCCAAGCUCAAGGUAACUGUUCAUUUCUUCCCCGGUUUCUUCAACUUUGCAUAUUGAUUUGCCUUGCUGAAUUGCUUUUAUUUUCUCAGGUAGUCGGCCAUUGAGGAAGGUGGAGGUAGCUGCUGUGGCUACGGCCGAGAAAAAAUCGAUCGUGGCUAAGAAGGCUACGAUUGCUAGUCGGGCCGUGCUGAACAAACGGCCUUGCCAAGAGGCCGAGCCGGCUGUCGAACUUCUGCCGCCUGCCAAGCGGGUAAAGAAGUUGGCAAAGAAAGGCGCACGGGAGAUCCACGUCAUCUCCAGUCAAACUACGGGGGCGACGACUCCCAGUGUUUCCCCUUCUCUUGCCGUCGGCCAACCCUUGGUAGAGAAACAGCCAACUCCGGCCGCAGAGAUAGUUCAAGCGCGGCCUGUUUCUGGGGCCGGUACACCAGUUGUGCCCCCCUCUGUCGAGGAGGCACCUAUUCUGAAAAAGGCGGUCUUUGCGACCGAGGCAACUUCCCUUGAAAAUCCAAAGCCCUCGGUCUUUGUUCUGGAAGAGAGUGAGGGGAGCGACGAGGUCCCGCUGGUAGAUCGUCCUCAUACUCGCCGACAACCUCCUCCAAUGUCCGAGAUGGCGGUUCAAGCCGGCCCCUCCACGGCUGAUCGAGGCAAGCGUCCGGUCAAGGAACCAACAGCGGUGGCCGAACCCCCCGCUCCUUCUUAAGACCAGGAUGUCCUUCCCUCGUCCGAAGCAGCUGUCCCGGUCGGCCCCUCCACAGCCAACCGUGGCAAACGACCGGUCGAGGAACCAGAGGCAACAGCGGAAACGCCCGUUCAUCCUCAAGACCAGGGCUUCCACAUUCCUCCGCAGGAGGUUACUUCGGCCUUCGUAAGUACCCUCUACCGUUUUUCCUUGAUUGCUUUUCUGCUUUAGAAUUCUAAACGAGGAAAAUACUAAAUGUCAGGUGCCUGUACACUCUUUUCACCGAAAAUUCUAUGCGCCGAAGGGCGUUAUCUAUAUCUCUUGGCCGCCUCAGUGGCCAUCGAACGUAGAUAACCUCCAUUGGCCGCGUGAACUGAGAAGCAAUCUAAGACACUAGGCUGGGCCAUUGAGUUCUUUGGGUUCGAGCAACGAUCCUGGAGACAUGGCCGAGGUCUCCUCUCGGCAGGUUAAAAAAAACGCAACCUUCUUGCUAUCCUUGUCAUGACUUCUUUUGAGCUUAACCUAAUUUAUAUGUGCAGGCUUCGUGGGAGGUCGAAUUUAAAGCCCUCAUCUCCAGCACAAUUACCGGGUCUGGUCCUUCGGCCCCCACGACUGAAGCUGCCGAUUCAACCGCUCUGUCUCAGUUGCGAGAAGUCUUGUCGCUUUCAGCGUCGUAAGUACUCAAGCGCAAUGGUCUUGAUCUGCUUGGCGCAUGUCUGAACGACCUCGGAGCUGACGGUCGUCUGAGCGGAGAUGCUAUCGUUCGGGCAUCGUCGGCCUUGGAGCGGGUUCGGGAGACAUUUAGUGUCUUCCAGAUCGCUCUAAAGGCCGAACAAGACCUGCAAGCUGCCACGGCCGUCCAAGACACUCUCCGUCCGAAAAUCGACACCCUAAAGGCAAAAGGAGAAGCAUUGGCCGAGCUUGACCGUCAAAUGGCGGAACUAGCGAAACGUAGGUCGGCCAUUGCCUUCGAUUUUGCUAAGGACUUCGAGUCGGGCGGAAAAGAUUGCCUGACCGAGUAUGCGGCGACCACAAAAUAGGUCGAGCGGUUGAAGCUGGAUAAGAAGAAUCGGCAAGCUAAGGUCAUCAUGGGCGAGGUGCGGUGGUUGGAGUUGAAGGCCCUGCUCGGCACUCUUCUACCCUCUUCCCCUUGAAUGUACUUGAAUGUAAACCGAUCGACUUGCUCAUUUUGUAUAUGCUUAUCAAUCUUAAUGAAAUGGUUUUCUAUUCCCGCAUUUCCCACGUGACCGGGUAGUAUUUUUUUAAAAACUUCCCGUUUAUUGGUAAUCUGUGAACCAAACCGGUCCGGUCUUUAAGAUGAUACGCCCCUUUUCCGUAUACUUUAUGUAUAACGAACGGUCCUUCCCAAUUUGGCGACCACUUGCCGAACCUAGGAUCUUUUAGUCCUACGGGUAACACCAUUUGCCAAACCAAUUCACCUUCACCGAAUGUUUUCCGUCGCACCUUUUGAUUAUAUGCUCGCUCGGCAAUCUGUUUUUGUGCCACCAGUAAGUUAUAAGCGUCAAGUCGCACUUCUUCCAAAUCUUCUAAUUCUUGUCUCAUGGACUGAUUAUAUUCGGCGCUAAACAAACUACUUUGUUCAAUCAAUUGCAACGAAUUUAUACUUAACUCGACUGGCAACAUUGCAUCGUGUCCGUAUGUUAAUGCGUAUGGGGUUGUUGCAGUCGCCGAUCGGGGCGACGUUCGGUAUGCCCAUAAUGCCUCAUUCAACUUGAAAUGCCACAUGUCAGGCCUUUAUUUUAUUAUUUUCGAGGAUGCCGAUCAACACUUUAUUACUUGCCUCGGCCUGCCCAUUUGCCUGUGGAUAAUACGGUGUGGACUGUUCCAGCCAAAUUUUCAAAUUUGCCGUGUACUCUUUAAACCUUUCGGUUGUGAAGAUUGUUCUAUUAUCGGUUAUGAUCGUUUUCGGUACGCCAAAUCGGGUCACAAUGUGUUCCUCCACGAAGUCGCAAACUUCUUUAGAUGUUAACUCGGCAUAUGAUUUUGCUUCGACCCACUUAGUAAAGUAAUCAGUUGCGACUAUUAUCCAUGCAUGCUUAGCAGCUCCAGAAGAUGGCGUGAUUUUGCCGAUUACGUCCAUGGCCCAUCCUCUAAACGGCCAUGGCUUAAUGACCGAAUGCAGUGAUUCGGCCGGGACCCUUUGUAUAGGCCCGUGGAUUUGGCACUGUACGCAUCCUCGUGCAAACUCGAUACAAUCCUUUAGUAUUCUCGGCCAAAAAUAGCCGUGCCGUUGAAGUAACCAUUGCAUUUUCCGUCCGGAUUGAUGAGCUCCGCAUACCCCUUCAUGGACUUCUGUAAUCGCCCGAGCACUCUCUUGGGGGCCGAGGCAUAGCAGUAACAAACCAUCUUCGCCUUUUCGGUAUAACUCGUUCUGGUACGUGACAUAGUUCGUGGCGUGAACUCGUGUCCUGCGACUAUGUUUCCCAUUAGGAUUAUCAAGGUACUGCAUAAUGGGUGUUCUCCAAUCAUCUGGUAUUACCUCGGCCGUACAAAUUUCUAUAGAAUCCUGCCGAUCCAACAUGGAAGGUAAGGACAUGACCCUGGUGCGUAUCACGUCGUCGCGUCGGAGGAUUUGCUGGUUAACCAAGGUCGGGUAUAACUGUCGUAACACCGGUAUCUUCCGGCCUAGCUUGCCCCCCAGGAGUUGUACGCCGGAGGCAAUUUGAGCCAAUUCGUUGCGUCGGUAUUAUGACACCGGGAAAUAUAUUUAAAUGUAAUACCGUCGAAGGAUUCGGCUAAAUAGCUGGCGACCAUGUUGUAAGGUGCCAGGGUACAACUCAUGCAACGAAAAGAACCAUUAAGUUGGUUAAUCACAAGUUCAGAGUCGCCGAGGACGAGGGCGCGGGUCGCUCGCAAGUCAUGAAGGAUUCCAAGGCCGACGAUUAGGGCUUCGUAUUCAGCCUGAUUGUUGGUGCAUUCGAAAUCUAACUUAAGCGAAAAUAACCAGCGAUCGUGGUUUGGGGAUUGAAUGACAAUUCCCACGCCCGCCGAAGAUGACGUACUGGAGCCGUCAAAGUACAUCGUCCAGUAGUUGUCGCGCGUCUGAACCAUGCCGAUUUCAACGUCGUUGCCCCCAAAACCGUAUGGGGAGGGAUGUUGAGCAAGGAAAUCAGCCAGUGCCUGGCCCUUGACAGCUUUCUGGGCUACGUACUGUAAGCUAAAUUCGGACAGUGCCAUUGUCCAUUUCCCAAUGCGGCCCUUUACGAUUGGUCGGGUGAGCAUGUAGCGGAUGACGUCGGUCUGAGCAAUGACUUGGGUGACCGAUGGGAGCAUAUAAUGCCGAAGCUUGGAAGCGGCGAAAAAUACGGCCAGGCACAGCUUCUCGACGGCGGGAUAAUUGAUCUCUGGUUGAUUGAGAUUGUGACUUAGAUAAAAAAUAGCCUGCUCUCGUCCGGCGUCGUUGUCUUGUGCGAGGAGGCAGCCGAUGGACUCUUCGGUCGCCGAGAUAUAGAGCUUAAGAGGCUUACCGCGCCGAGGAGGAACCAGGACAGGUGGUUGCGUGAGGGAGACCUUGAUUUAUGUAAACGUUGCCUGAUGCUUGUCAGUCCACUCAAACUUAUCUGAGUCCUUAAGCUUCAAAAGCGUCGAAAACGCUUUCAUUUUCCCUGUCGAGUUAGCUAUAAAUCGGCGGAGAAAAUUUAUCUUGCCGAGUAAGGACUGCAGUUGUUUCUUCGUCGUGGGGGGUGGAGCACUGAUGAUUGCACGUGCUUUAUUUUCAUCCACUUCAAUCCCACAGUGAUGUACCAGGAAACCGAGAAGGAGAUUACCGGCCGACACACCGAAAGCACAUUUGGUAGGAUUCAUUUUGAGGUUGUGUUGGCGCAUACGAAGGAAAGCAUGUCGGAGAUCAUCCAGAUGGGUCCGCCGUUGCUUGGAUUUAAUUACAACAUCGUCGAUAUAGACUUCGACGAUGGUUCCAAUUAAAUCAUGAAAUAUGGUGUUCAUUGCCCGUUGGUAUGUGGCGCCGGCAUUCUCAAGGCCGAAUGGCAUAACAACCCAUUCGUAAGUGCCGAGUGCCCCCGGGCAACGGAAAGCAGUUUUGUGUACAUCGGCUUCGGCAAUGAAAAUUUGGUUGUACCCAGCAUGUCCAUCCAUAAAGGAUAAGAUCGCAUGAUUCGCCGCGGCAUCGAUUAACAGAUCUGAAAUCGGCAUUGUAUACUCAUCUUUUGGAGUUGCCAAAUUCAGAUUUCUGAAAUCGAUACAGAUGCGCAGUGCACCAUUUUUCUUCAAGACAGGAACAAUAUUUGCCAACCAUUCCACAUAUCGAGCUGUCCGAAUGAACCCGGCUUUCAAAAGCCGAACCAGUUCGUCCUUGAUGCCGAGUUGUACUUCGGUCGAGAAUCGACGAGGUGGUUGACGGAAAGGUUUACACCCGGGCUUAAUACGUAAUUCAUGCUCGACAAGAGUACGAUCUAAGCCGGGCAUUUCAUGCUAGCUCCAAGCAAAACAAUCUUUGAACUCCGUAAGCAAUGCACGAAGCUCGUCCUUCAUUUGUUGAGGAAGUAAAGCACUAAUAAACAAAGGCCGUGGGUCAUCGGCCGUCCCAACAUUAAUCUCUUCCAGAGGGUCCUUAACUUGGGGCCGAUGAUCUUCGAGCUCGGCCGGAGUGGCUUGAAUUUUGUCAAGAGAUAAAACAGGACCAUUAUCUCAUUCGGCAAGGAACUCGACGAGGUUAACGCCCGAAUUCGGUUGUUUAGAUAUCGUAUACCAAUGGGCCAGCAGUCGUUCCAUAGUAGAUGAAACCGCGGCCCUACGGUCUUCCCGAUCGGUGUCAAACAUCGGCUUCGGGGAGGAAGUUGGCUAAUCCGAGUCUCAGUGGCCAUCGAACAGUGACCGGGUGAACAGUGCUUGGAUCAUACCGUGCUUGGAUCAUGGUAGCUUCGAAGGCUGGCUAUCGGCCGGGUGAACAGUGACCGAGUUGCCGUCCCAAAAGACAAGCACUUGAUACAAUGAGGAAGGAAUACAGCUGGUCUGAUGAAUCCAAUCUCGACCGAGCAAUGCAUUAUACUCGGUUUUGGAAUCAACCACGAAAAAUGCGGUCAUGUGAGUGCGACCGGCAAUAUUCACAGUUAACGGAAGUACGCCUUUGGUUUGGGAUUUGUCGCCGACGAAACUACUCAUUGUGAUCCCUGACGGAAUAAGUUCGUCAUUCGAGCGACGUAAGGCCUUCAUGAUAUUCAGAGGCAUGAUAUUGACGGUAGCUCCACAGUCGACAAAAACUUUAGAAACUGGAUAUCCCUCGAUGUGGGCCGUCACAUACAACGGCUUUAAAUGGUGAAGGUUGGCUGGUGAUGAACGAGGAAACAAUUCAACCAAAACGGCCUUUAGACUAUCAUCUUUUGUUGUCGACUCACAUUCAACGACAGAUACAAAAUCAACAUGGCCGGCUUCUUCGGCGACUACAUCACCAUCGAGGAAAUUCGGUUGAGCCGUGCUUGAUUGAAAAUCAGCGGGUAACACAUGAACCAUACUGAUUUCCAUGUUAUCCAGGACUGACGGGCCCAUCGGGUUAGGAUCUUCCUCGCUAGCCUCAUUUCUCGGCUGGUCGGCAACUGCGAACUCCGUUGUUGUCAAAGUUGGACAACGAGACUCUUCGAUUCCUUCUCCGAUGGUUUGAUCCUGCGGUGCUGCUUCGGCAACUUGUUGGUUCUGCGUGACUGCCUCAGGUGAGGUUGAUAUCGACAGUGUGCUUGGGGUCAGAACCUGGACCUGUUCCUGGUAGUGUAACCGGGCAUCCCUAAUGUCGAGAUAAGCAUCCAAACGCGCAACACGUGCUAUUUCAUCGGUCAUAAGGCCGAAGAGCAAAACAGCCGAAAAUACUUCGAAGUGAUAUCGUAAAUACUGAAGGUCCUCCAUUGAGAAAGGAAGGUCGGCUGCAUCGAUAUCAGUGUAUGGGUCGACUUCAAAUCCAAGGACACGAGCUUUUCGUAUGUGCUGGAACCUUGCUUUCAAUCCUGGGUCCGAGGUUUUCUGGAUGAUUCGCUCGGCAUCAGGACAAGUCAGGACUAGAUCAAUGGUGUCCUAGCAUGCCUUCGACAAACCAUACAGAUCGUUGGCCGAAUGUUUCUUAUGAAAUUCGCGCAUAUAUUCCAAAGACUCCCCAAGGAACGGGGGAUGCAAAUUCCGUCGAAUUUUGAUCAAAGGUUCUUGUAUAGCCGGCGGGGCUAAUUUGCUUUCGACCUCUUGCCUGAAAUGUUCAAGGCGUGCUUUCAUCUCCCCUGGUCGAAGAAGAAGUUUGAUCCGUUUAUCAGCCUCUUCAAACGUGGUUUCGACAUCUUGAUCGACCAGCUGUUUCCCUUGAGCCAACUCUGUCAUAAUGGCUAGAGGUGGUCGUUCAUCAUCAGUAGCAAUUGUGUCCUUCGGCCUCCAUUUAGGGACCGAAGUUUCUUGGGCUGCCUGUCAGCGGGCCAUGCAAUCUAUCCUUUGGUGCCGGCGUUUCUGGGAUUUGGACAGUACGGUGUAGACGCCUUUCGAAGAAUGAUACGUAUACCAACGUUGAUCUUUAGGCUUAGGAGAUUUGAAGGUUUUUUGGCUCCGCGAUGAUUCCGAACUGCUAGAAUUACGUUUAUAGUAGUCAUCGUCAUAGAAUGAAGCAUCAAAAUCGAGGCGCCGCCUGACUGAGGGUGUUUCUUCCAUCCGCACUUUAGGACUGAGCCUAUCAAAAACCCCUUGAUGUUGGCCUACGUUGGCUACCUUUUGCCGGGUUGCGGCCAUAGGUCGUUCUGUUAUAAGCGAAGAGGGCUUCUCCUCUGGCUCACUGUCGACUUUUGCCUUACAUUUACUGCACAAAACCGUUGUCCCACUGUCUUCAUCGGUGCUAUAAUCCAUCAUAGGUUUGACAAUAGCGGGUCAUGUUAAAGCUGUAGGUGGUUUGUUUGAAUGAAAAUCGGCCAUGAACCGUGGUCGAGAAUUCUGAUUCAGCAAGCGUUGCGUCGCAACAACUUCGGCCUUUCCUUUCCCUUUGUCCUUAGGUAGGCACGCAUCGACCAUAUUUACUGUUGCCGUGGGGAACGGGUCAGUAUCAACACUCAUCUUCUUCUCUGGAAAUUUCAGUUUGCCAUUAUCAAUCCAGCUUUGGAUGUUGUCGCGAAACACUACGCAAUUGUUUGUCGUAUGUUUGCUUGAAUUGUGGUAUUUGCAAUAUACCUUUCCUUUAAGCUCUUCGGCCUUGGGAAUGUUGUGACCAGGCCGAAGCUUGAUGAUUCUUGCUGAUAACAGUUGGUCAAAAAUUGCAUCAGCCUUGGUAAUAUUAAAAGUAUAAACUUUUGACGGUUUCAAUGUUCCUUCAGUGGCCGAGCGGCUUUUGACUUCUCUAGAGUCGACUUGAGUUAAUGUCUUGCAAACGUAUGGCUUAUCUAUCACUAUCUCAGCGGCAUCCACACUAACGCAUUCAUCCUCGGUUGAUGCAUAACUGACAGUAGGAUUCUUGUAAAUCGUCACCCGAGUUGGAGCUUUCGAAACCUUUUCCUCGCGGAGCAAAUAAUCAUAUUGUUCGACAUGUUGAGCUAAUUCGUACAUAUCCCGAAAGUUUGCCCCCAAAAAUUUCUUUUUGUACUCAACGUCGAGGCCGUUCAAAGCAAGCUUGACAAAUUCAACUUCAGGUAAAGGCACUCGGCACCAAUUCCUGGCUGAUUUGAACCUAGUAAGAUAAUCCAUGGGUGACUCAUUAGAUGCUUGAGCCAUCCUUGCUAAUGAAGAAACUGACAUCUCCAUCCCUGGCCGAUAAAACUGCUCGUGGAAUUUCUCGACCAACUCCUCCCAGUUUUGGACGGAAUUAGGAGGGAGAUUGAUAUACCAGGCAAAUGCUGAUCCGGUCAAUGAGAAAUUGAACACCCGUAACUUAUGGAAAUCACUAUUAACAUCCCCGCAUUGCGGUGAAACGAGCCACAUGCUCCAACAAAGACAGGGAUGAUUCACCGGUAAAAAGGCUGAAAUCUGGGAUCUUGAAACCCUUCGGGUAUCCGAAUGUUUCCACGUAAGCUGGGUACGGAUGAAUAAACUUAGGAAACUUCGGCCCUUUCUUCAUGGCCGAGUCGAUCAUCCGCUGAACUUCGAUCAUAUCCACAGGUGUUGCUUCGACCCUCUGGUCGGUUCCGUCUGACCUACUAUUCGACCCUCCUCCUUUUUCCAAGUCAAUUGGUUUGAGCCGAGCAGGAAUAGGCUCGGUCGGUACAAUUGGUAACGGAUUGUUUCCUGGUGGUAAGUGCUGAAGAAGAUCGAAAGGCCUGCUGUCACUGACUUUACUAACCAGCAUUUCGAGCAAUAUGGUUUGUCGCUCAUUGGAACUGAGUAUCACGUCAUGCAGCUUGUCAAUGCCUUGGCUAAACGUCUGCUCGACUGACCGAGACUGCUCGUCCAGUCGCUUUCGAAGAAACGACCUUGUUGGUGGGUCAGAUCCUUCACCACCAUCCUCGUCACACUCCUCUACUAUCCUUUCAUUGAGAACGCAGGUGUUUCUGUUAGGGAUUUCUAGACCGCGGAGCUGACCGCUGAGAUUAACUUCUCUAUCUUGGCGAUUUGCGCUUGUGAACUCAGGUGUCACGGCACUAAGGGGAUUCUGCGCCUGUGGUACACUUUGUCCUAUGCUCUGAUUUGGCAAAUCGGCUGUCAACUUUUCCAUAGCUGUUUUCUUUUUUACCGAUCGUGUUUCAAUUGGCAUGAACUUCGUAGUUUAGCACUGGGUCCCACUGGGCGUGCCAAAAUGUUGACCCUAGAAACUACCAAGCCUACAUGGCGCGCAGGCCGAGUAAUCUAUAAGCUAACUACGUCCUUCGGUGAAUGCGGGGCGUGCCAACUCGUCGGCCGAGCUUGGCCGAGGAGUACAUUUUGUUGCUGUUGCGUUGGGUGCACGGCUGACUUCUGCAUCUUGCGAUUGCGGCCGAGAAAGGAACACGUCUCGGCCUCUUGGGCUCUCGAACCUGAAGACAAGGUUACUAUUCUUACGAAGUUCAAUAUCAAAUUCGGCUUUCAAUGUGCCGAAUGUAAUAACUGUAACACCUCACUUUGCAGAGAAGGCUGAUGAGAUGACCUCGACCAAUAAGGAUUUAGAAACCCUUCUCGACCGAGACUUGGAUAGGUAAUCAACCGUUCUCGCCGCAGUGCUGUUGAUGCCAACGGAAGAUACUGCGAGAGCGACUAAUUCUACGGUGACAGAGCUAUCUAUGCCGAUUUAAGAUAUCACCGGUUGCUUCCACAAUGCUGUUGAUGCCAACGGAAGAUGUGUCAGCAAAAAAGAAAAAGGAAAAAGAUCUCAAGUUGUUGAGAGUUUGCGCAGGGCAAUUUUGUAUUGAUUUGCAGAGGGCCUAUCUGACGCACAACUUCCCCUAUUUAUAGCAUUGGAUCUUGAAUCCGAGUUAAAAUCCUACUCGGACUAGGUCUUCCUCUCCGGAUCAACACCACCUCGACCAGUCCUAUCUUCACUAGGAUUGUGACCCUAGUCCUUAACUGAGCCAGAUUCGCUUUCUGGGUUACUGAUCCCGCCGAGACUCCCUAUUGUAAUAGGACUCGACUUGCGUUAUGAUCUAACCGACCUAGGCUUGGAAGCCCACGAGCUGAACGAUCCAUGGCCCUCUCGCCGCACGGCCUCCCGGGCCGAGAAUGAUCCUACCCUCGGUCCAAACUAUUAUUUUGGGCCCAAACAACUCCUCACAAGUGUAUUUUUCUUUCCAAAUCUAAAAAGUUUGGAGUAUAUAAUGAGAUUUUUGGACUGCGAAUAACAAUUUCCUUUCGAAAUAGGUACACUAACAGUGGUACACAUUUUGAGUGUAUCAAGCGGGUUUGUAUAUCAUAUUUAGCAUGGGUACAAUUGUUGUCAUAUGUUGCGUAAGCAAGCAUUAACAAUUCAAAUUCAAAAGCCUUUGAGAUAAUACUUCCAGAUUUCAAGGAUAACAACAAAAUAAAAAGGAUAAUGACAAUUGUUAAUGGAAUUGAAAUGCUAAUUCAGAAGGAAAAGAUCUGAUGGAAAAUGACUAAAUUCUCAACGCUUGAAAUAAUGGCAGUGCUUAUAAAUUUUAGAAAAAUGAAAUCAUUUUUUGUAAUCUACUUGGCUCCUCAUAGGGGAAGCAGUUCAAUUUAAAACGCAAAACCUAUAGAUGUUUAAUCAAACAAGUUGGGGGGGGGGGGGGGGGGGGAGGGUGAGGCACUGAUAUCAAAAGCUUCCAAUUGAAAAUUUAGGAGGGAAUGAGAACAUAUGAUUUUUGUCAUAUAUUAUUGGUGGUGUGUAAAAGAAAUAAUGUAGCUCACCAUGGUGCAGGUUACUGUUAAAUAACUACUUAAUUCGCUUAGUCCCUAACAACUGAUAAUAAUAGCGAAAAACACUUUUAAAAAAAAUCAAAUUAUAGAAAAAAAUUUCUCGACUAAUGUCAAUAAUAGUCGAGUGCAGCAAUAUAUAGGUCCUAGGUUUUUCUCUUGAAAACAAGGCUAUUAAAGGAGCCUAUUUAUGAAAACUCCGGCCUCAUUUUGUGUAUAGGGUUCACUCAGAUUGGAUAACUCGCUAGAAUGUUGAAUGAAGAAGUGGAUACGCCCUUGCAUAGUUUGUCCAAGUAAAGGUAGAAGAUGAAUUAGUUGUGACGAAAACUUAUCCCUCCAAAUUCCCUUAAAAUGAUAGGAUGAAAUAGACAAGUUAUUUUCAUGACUAGUUCAUCUUUUACCGGACAAAACAUUCACUUCUUCAUCCAUCAUUCAUUAAAUCCAGUGAACUAUUCAAUCCAAGCGAAUCCUACCCAUCAAACAAGGCACAUUGUCCUAUAAUUCGUUUUAUAUUCCCCCUUCUCAUCAUGUGUGUUGCCAGGUAUAAGUGUUUCAUUUGGCUUUUGGAGUCAACAUUGUACCAUGACUUUUAAAACAUACUAUGUAGAAUUAGUCAAACACUGGAUGGAUCAUGGAAAUGUUAGGUUCCAAACUUAAUCAUGUUUUGUACGAACAUGAAUCUGGUGCCUCGCCACUAAGAUUUCUGCAGUGCGACCCCUCCCAUACGGCAACCUAUCUUGGCUUCUUUCCAAGUUCCUACCCGUCAAACAUUAAUUCAUGACUUGAAUUUUCUCACAGAUAUUUUUUUUCUUUCUCAGCCAGCAGAAGUUUCAAAGAUAUCCUUUUCCUAUCACGCUAUCACCCCUCUGUGUUCACAACUUUUACCACUUUCUAGGUCAAGUAAUUAGUCAAUCUCUAAUGGAGUGUUCCCCCUUCAAUAAGUUAGAUAAAUGGUUUAUGGUUGGUCCAACUACUCGAGCACCUAUGACAUACGAGCAUUGUCUGAACUCAUUUAUUCAGACAAACGUUCGUAUGUCGGACCUACUCGGGGAUUAUACAGGCUUAGCUGCCCUCGUAGUUCAGUGUUACUAUCGCCUUGAUGUGAAAAUUACUUGACACAUAAAUUAAACCCUAUUGAUGACAAUUGUAGCAAAGAUGUAAGUAUGGCUCAUGUCUUUCUUUAAAAAUAAAACGUAUUUCAUUUUACGUGUGCAGAUUUUCCUCAAGUUAUCGAGGACUUAACUCAACCACCAUUGUCACAAGCUCAAUAAAUUAUGAAGAAUCAUUCAAUGAAUUCUCUACAUAAUUGUCUAGUCAGGUUGAUGAAAAUAGGUAUUGCCUAAAUGGUCUUAGCAGCGAAUUCUUAUUUCAAGAAGAUAGUAGUGCUUUGUAUCAUGGUAAGCCUCAAUAUUAUUAUGAUGUACCCAUACAAACUAAAGAGUGUGAAUAUGAUGGUGAGCAAAAAUAUGAUACGGACAAUUACCUUUAUGAGGAAAGUGAUAAUGAUGAUGACAUUGGUGAUUCUGAUACAGACAAUUUCUUAUAUGAUGAGGAUAAUGAUGCAAUGCUUGAAGAUGACAAUUUCAGUGACAAUGUAGAUACAUAGAGUUUCAUUGGAUGCAGUAGGAAACAAAAAACAAAAUAAUAAAAAAACAAUUGGGAAGAUAUACAGGUUGAGAAUUUGAACAUGCAUGAGAAGCAAUAUAACUCAGAUGAGUUACAUUCGCCACUAAAUCUGAUGAAGAAGGACAUGAUCGUAGAUGCAAAGAGUUUAAUGUUAACUGAUAUGGAAAACCCACAAUUUGAUAUUGGGAUGAAAUUUCUAAGUAAAAAGGUGUUAAAGCAGGCUAGACAUAAAUAUGAAGUCGUAAGGUCAUAUAAGUGUAAGGUAAGGAAGAAUGAUAGGAUUAGGUUGUCUGCUAAAUGCAAGCAAGGUUGCAGCUGGAAGUUGUUUGCUUCUGUGAUGCAGGGUGAAAGUACUUUUCAAAACAAGAGCUACAUUCCUGGUCAUUCAUGUUCAAAAGGUUUCUCUAGUAAAAACAUAACUUUAACUUUUCUUUCUGAAAGAUACAUGGGUAGGAUUAAAGAUGAUCCUAAGAUUAAGAAGGCAAACGCUUCAGUUAGAGAUAUUCAGAGACUUGGGAUAUGAAGUCUCAACAAAUCAAAGUUACAAAGCUAAGAGGAAGGCUCUAACUUUGAUUGAGGGGGCUUAUGCUCAACAAUAUGAAAGCUAUGGGAGUAUAGUGAAGAGGUUAGAAAGACAAAUAUAGGCAGCACUAUGAUGAUGAAGGUGGAUCCUCCUUAUUUCCAAAGACAUAAUGUGUGCUUGGAUGCAUGCAAAUAGGGGUUUGUACAUGGUUGCAGACCUUUGAUAGGUGUUGAUGGUUGCUACCAUAAGGGAACAUUCCACGGUAAAGAAUUAAUUUGUAGUUUUAUUUGACAUCAACUCAUGCAGAAGUGGUAUUAAUUUAAUAUAACGUCCAUAUAUGAUAUGUCUAUGCGUGCAUAUUAAUUCAAUACCUUGGCAAGGCAGUUACUUGUGGUAGUGGGAAUUGAUGCAAAUGAAAAUAUGUAUAGGUUCAGUUCGAUGAUCAAGUGUGAUAUGUUGCUGAACAGCUUGUGUGAAAUGGCGGUCAAAUUGCUGCAGUAAAAGCAGCGGAGAAAUGCCUGCUCAUUUACGAUAAAUAUUUCUUAAACCAGACACCAAUGUUAAGAAAGCUCUCAAAGUCGGAUUGUGGCCUGCAAACACGAAUUUUGAAAUCUCAGAUUGCAUUCCAAGCAUGAAAUUUUAUGACUUUGGUUGUACCAAGUGACUAGUGACUACAAUGCACAAGCACAUCUGGAUCACUCCUUACCUGUCAAUUGCAUGAUUAUCGUGAGGAAACACAAUGACUUUGACAGGAACUCCUUUUUCCUUCAGAGCGCGAGAAUACUGUGUAAAGAACAAUAAACAUAUCCAAAUCAUUUUCUACUCACGCCAUUGCAAUUACGCAACCAUUAAAGUAGAAUUGAAGUGCUCAAUGUGUAGUUCAUGAGGACACGAACGUGUUAUCUUACUUGCAACCAAUAGAAAUCGGAAGACGAAUAUCCUGAGCACCCAAAAGAAAGAGGGUGGGUGUUUUGACCUGCAGAGAACAUACGAGCUUGACGAUAGUCCAGAAUAGGCUCACUAAAAUAACAGAAAACAAGCCUAAACAAAAGUUACAAAACACAAACCUUUGAGACAUGUGAAAUAGGAGACAUUCUGUGAAAGAGAGUCAGAUGCUCAGCUGACGGCGCUUCUGUGAAGCUGUUUUUACCCUCACUCCCGUAGGCCUCAACAUAGCACCAAUCGGGAAUGUCUGUUGUACCCACCAUUAGCGCGAGGUUGCAAGCAGGAUUCCUUGUUGCUGCCACAACAAACUUCUCUGGUUCCUGCAGCAUUUCAAUUACAAGAUUAUCGGAUUCAUAAGUACACCUAAAAUCGUGUAUGUUCAUGUAUGCAUAAAUGGGAAAAUUAUCGUCCUUUUUGCAAACUUAACACACCUGGCCAAUCAAGUGGGUUGUGAGAAAGCCACCGUGAGAACCACCAAGAACUGCAACUUUUGACGGACUGGCAAGCCCCACGUCAAUGACAUGGUCUACAGCCGCCAGUACAUCCUUCAAGUCCUGUAGAGAAGAUACUAAUGGAUCAGGGUCUCCGAAUACAAAUCCACACAUUUAAAGUAAAUACCAUCUAAAGUAAAUGCUUAACAAACAUUGUGCAUAUACAGACACAUAAUAUGUAUAUAAUAAUAUUACCUGGGACCCAAUUUUUCCGGGAAGAGACUGAAGUGCUUCUUCACCAAACCCCAGUGAACCUCUGAGAUAAACUCGCAUGUCAGAUCAAUGGAAGCCAAAAGCUGAUUAUAUGAAGCUAAUAUUGAAAAGAGGCAAUUUUUGAAGCAGGGGAUGAUAAAAUGUAAUUUAGCCGAAAAAAUCAGAAUGAAAGGAAAACGGAGAAACACAACUUUCCUGUAAUUUACAAUUAACAAGCUGAAACCAAUCGAAGAGAGAAAUGCUAAGGACUUUGAAAAGCUUGACAAUGAAACAAUAUGUGGGCCUCCAUGAAAGAAUACAAUUAACGGGUUAAGUGCAUCAUUUCUUUUAGUUUUGGAAGACACAAAUAUAGCUUCAAUAGGAUUGGUGGCACCUGAAAGGUUUUAAUCAUAUACAGGAUGUCAAAAUCAAUGAUUUUCCAAGACAUAAGAAAGAAAACUGACUUGUGAUACCUUUUGUUGGGCUAUCAGAAACAUCCCUGAUCGGAAUCUUCAUUAUACUGAACCGAAGAGAUGAGAGCAAAGAUUUAACCUGUAGCAAGGCGAAACUUGAGUAAAACAAAAGUAAGUUUUUAAGAUAAUCACAGUAAUAACACAGUACUACAGACCUUCUUAGGACAUUCAUCUGUGGGGCUUGCUACGUUUAACCGACUCCAUGCAGCAUUUUUACUUUCUUUAUCAAUAAGAUAACCGUACUUGAUAUGGGGUACAUCUACUGGACUGCUAGACACUUCCGAAAUCAAACAAGAAGUGAAUUUUAUUAUUGUAAUUCAGUAAAUUUGUCCAACAAGUUAUCAGUAAAAAAAAGGGAGUUUAUAUUACCGGCAAUGAUAUUGUCUCCGUCCAGUGUAAGAACGCUCCAUGAAAAACUAGAAUUAGGACUGAUUCGUAAUACUUCCCCGCUGUAAUUUCAUAUAAUUGUAUCAUGAUUUAAUUAUAAUAACAAGGUAACAAGAGCACGUCAUAUGAUGAAACCCUAUAGUUACCUCAACACAUUCACAGAAAGUAUCACUUGACAGCUACACCAGAUGGAAGAUAUGAUCAGAACUAUCAGAACUAUCCCCAUUCUGAUGUCCAUUCUGAUGUCCAUCAAACUUGUGUUUAUCAAGGUAUCAAUUUCAGAUGAAAAAGACGUUUAUACUCACUUAACGACUGUUUAACAAAUUACCCUAUAUUCACUAACAAAUAUAAAAACAUGGGCUAAAUUGAAAACACAGUACCAAAUAUAGCAUUAAAGCCAAAACAAUAUUAAUAGUAAUACGUAAUAGUUCAGUUGAAGUUGCAUUAUUGAUUUCAAUAAUCAUAAAUUUUCAAGUACAAUAAUUUUUCAUCCAGAUUACAUAUGCUGAGCAAACGCAAGCCGGAUUCAAUAGUUUUUCAUCCAGAUUCAAGGUGGAUUCAACCUACUUGACUGUAAAUUGUAGAUUGAUUUACGAAAGCUCUCGAAGUCGAACUAUGGGGGUAAAAGCAGGGAAGAAAUGCCUGCUCAUUUACGGUAAAUACUUCUUGAACCAGACACCAAUGUUAAGAAAGCUCUCAAAGUCCGAUUGUGGCCUGCAAACACACAAAUUCGUAUAAGAUGAAAAUCCGAGCAUGAAACUUUAUGAUCUCGCUUGUAGUGACUGGUGACUACAAUGCACAAAGCACAUUUGGAUCAUAAGUUUACCUCUCAAUUCCAUGAGUAUCCUGUGGAAACACAAUGACUUUGACAGGAACUCCUUUUUCCUUAAGCGCCCGAGCAUACUAUGAAUAAUAAACAUCCAAAUCACUUUUCUACUCACAUAAUUCCAAUUAUGCAAACGUCUAUGAAUCAAAAUCAUCACACCCCCUUGGGAGGAAGGAAAACAAUUUAAAAGAUGAAAACUAUAAGAAUAAUUAUCCAAGCACUUGUUUCAUUGUUAAACUAUUAAGGAGAAAAGGUGUAUUUCAUUAGGAGAACAUGUUAACUUACUUGAAAUCCAGUAGAAACUGGAACACGAAGAUCCUGAGCACCCAAAAGAAAAAGGAUGGGUGUUUUGACCUGCAGAUAGAUCCUUCAAAAAGUUACAAAUAGCAAACUUCUUACUAUAUAAAAUCUUUUUAAAUUAUUGAAUUUCUUCGCAAAAAGGAAAUUUAUAGUAUAAGCUUCAAAAUCAAGAGUACGUAAAUAAUAUAGUAACAGAGAAAAAGCUUAAACAAGCACCUUUGAGACGUGUGAAAUAGGAGAUUUGCUGUGCAAGAGAGUCAGAUGCUCAGCAGAAGGUGCUUCUGUGUAGUUAUUUCUACCCUCACUUCCAUAGGCCUCCACAUAGCACCAAUCUGGGAUGUCUGUCGUACCGAUCAUUAAUGCGAGAUUACAGACGGGGUUCCUCGUUGCUGCCACAACAAACUUAUCUGGUGCCUG
RNAcentral lists this long non-coding RNA (45446 nucleotides) under Malus domestica (apple). RNAcentral describes it as "long non-coding RNA (MDOM_LNC016379)". The stretch from base 21092 to 21194 matches the Rfam family "Small nucleolar RNA Z103". Lineage: Eukaryota; Viridiplantae; Streptophyta; Magnoliopsida; Rosales; Rosaceae. The record is from RNAcentral.